UUAAUCCAUGUAUGGUAGUUACUGAACAAUCUGUAUGUGCAACAUUUCAUGAGACAUUAUUUUAUAUAUCUAGAAUAGUGUAACAGAAAAAGAUUUAAAAAAUACCGAAAACUAAAUCGUACCUAUUCCAUGUUUGAGGAGUCAUCUCAGCAGCUAAUAUCCCAGUUGGUCUGACAACAAAAUAGGUCAUGCGAUAUAACCCGAGUUCCUGUAUCUUAUUCCAAAAGAACUUAAUAGCAUACUUCCCGAUUGAGGCAUGUAUACAAUCGCCCUAGAAAAUCAUAUUAAUUGUUAGGAUGUAUUAGAUUGGUAUAAAUUGUUAGUGGUGGAAAUUAUAAAUAAUUGUCAAUAAACAUUGUAAAUUUUUUAGGCAGAAUGUGCAUAUUUUUAGAAUUUGCAGUAGUUAUAGAGAUUAAACAAUUGUCAACAAACAUUGUAGCUUCCUUUGGCAGAAUAUAUGCAUAUUGUACUAGUUUUUGAAGAAGUUUAAGGAGGAACAUCAUAUUUUAUUUCUCACGUAGAUUAUAUAAGCUGUAAUAUAUUGGUAAUAAUUUGUUUUUGCUGGAAAUUAGUAAAUUAUUAUCAAUUAGAUGUUCACAAACAGAAAUAGAAAUAAGACUACACCAAAUAAUCACUUCAAGUAGGUAGUUUUAUGUUUUUUAGGAUUGCUAGAAACUAAUAACAAAUGGAAAAAUAAUGUUUGAAACAAAAAGAGAAAUAAAGGUACUACGUAAAUAGUUUCACGUAGAAAUUUUCAUCUAUUUGAAAAUUUUGGAAAAUUUAUGAAUCGUAGCAGCAGAGAAGGAAAAAAAAAAGUGAAAGCAAUUAAAAAUAUUUUACCAUCUUGUAAUACCAACUCUAUUGAAUAAGGUAUUUGAGGCUUGUAGCGAUCCAGAAUUUCUCACAUUCGAACUACUCUAACUUUUAAAUUUCAUUUCAUGGAGUUGCUUGAAAUUUGUGUGAUGUCAUGAAGUUUUGUAGUCAUAUUUGCGGAGUUCUGUAUUCUGACCAAAGCAAAAAGAGAAUAGAAAAGGAAGUAAAAGGAGACGCAUAAAACUGCUGAUGUAGUUAUGGAGUUACGUUAGGAUACCCACGUUUGGGAAGAUGAUCAUGGUUUUUUUUUAAAAAAAUUAUUUCUUCCGAUUUAUUUGUGAAAUCUAUCUAUAUUGCAAAACGGCAAAUUCGAAAUGUGGGGGUCAACUCCAGACGUUGAUUAAAGUAAUUUUCUUUUUUUGAAUUUUCAGGUUUAACAAAUUAAAAAAAAAAAAAGAUACCAGCAAACGUGGGAGUCAAAGUAGAUGUAUACUAAAUUGGAAGUUUUAAAGCUUGUGAACUUCUAUAAACAAAUUAAAGAAAAAUUCGGACAACAAAGAUGUGGAAGUUUUAAGCUUGAAUUGGCGAAAUUGGAUUUUUAGCGAUUUCCGGUUGAUAGGUGAGAUUUGGAUAUAGGGGUCAUAAUGGAACUUUGAGAGUUGUGGUAGUUCUGUUAUGUCAUUUGGGAUGUGUGUGCAAAAUUUCAACUCAUCCGGACGUGGUUUGGUUGGGUUUUUAUCAAAAGCGUAAUUUAGAAGAUUUUGGAAUUCUUAGGCAUGAAUCCGAUGCGAAUUUGGUGUUUUGAUGUUGUUUUGCGGGUUCCGAAGGUUGGAACAAGUUUGAAUGAGGUUAUGGGAUAUGUUGGCAUGUUUGGUUGAGGUCCUGGGGGCCUCGGGUGAGUUUCGGGAGGUCAAUUGGACCAUUUCAUGAUGUUUGGAAUUGCAGAAAACUGUUGUGUGUUGCAGAGGAUUUAGACCUUCGCGUUCGCGAGUGAGUCCUCGCGUUUGCGAAGGGUCAGUUGGUGAAGGCUGGAAUUUAAGCCUUCGCGUUCACGAAGGGCUGAGUGUUUGGUCAUCGCAUUCGCGUGUGAGGGAGCGCGUUCGCGAAGAGUUGUCUGAGGAACCAUCGCGUUCGCGAUGGGCAGGUCGCGAUUGCGAAGAGGAAUUUUUGGUCAAAGUUAUUUUGUGCUUCACGAAUGCGAGGCGUUGACCGCGUUCGCGAAGAAGAAAUGAGGCCUGGCCAGAAUAUUUAAAUAUUCGUCUUGUCCGCGAUUUUGGGGUUUAUUUCCACUAUUAUUGAGCGUUUUUGGAGCUUUUUGAAGAGGAUUGAAGAAGGAUUCAAGGGGAAUCACUUGGAGGUAAGAUUCAAGGACUUAAAACUCGAUUCUAUGUGAAAUCUACCUAAUUAAUCAUGAAAAUUAAGCCUAAAAUUGAAGAACUAGGGCUUGAAAUUGGAGACAUAGAAUUUAGGAUUUGAGGGGUUAUUUUUUGUUAGAGUUUGAUGAUUUUGAUAUGAAUGAACUCGGGGAGUGAUAAGGAAUCCAUUGAUGUGCAUUUUACCGGAAUCUGAGACGUGGGCCCAGGGGUCGGGUUUUGGUAAUUUCGAGAUUUAUGUUGUAAAUUGAUUAUGUUCACUUGGGCUUCAUUCCCUUAGCAUAUUUUGACACUGUGAUUCUGAUUUUGGAUAGAUUCGGUGGGCGAGUGGAGGGCGAUUCGAUGGGCAAAGGCGUCGCGAGCUAGAGUUUGGACCGGAUUGAGGUGAGUAAUGAUUGUAAAUAAUGUCUUGAGGGUAUGAAAUCCCGGAUUGCAAUGAGGUGACGCACACUCUUGAUGACGAGCAUGGGGUCGUGCACUAUUGGGGACUGUGACUUAGUCCGUCCCGAAUGACUAUUUUACCGCGUAUUUGACUGAAAUCUAUUUGUGAACAUCAUGUUUUGGGUUGAAUGCCAUAUUUGGGCCUCGUGCCAACUAUUUGAACCUUUAGAGGAUUUUUAUUGAUAUUUCCUCACUGUUUUGACUUUAUACUUAAACUCAGUCAAGUUAUAUUCCACUGUUUUCAUAACUUAGCUAUGUUUACUCUGUUUUAACACUUAAAUGGUCUUUUAAAUGAUAUAUUGGGCUAAGAACCAUGUUUUACUACUGCCUGAGUGGCUUGUGAGGAUUUUGACUGAACAAGGCUGAGGGCCUAUGUUGUGAGGAAACACUGACUAUGAUUAUGAGGCCGAGGGCCUGAGAUAUGUAUGCCACAUGCUGGCUUGUUGACAUGAGGCCGAGAGCCUAGUGAUGAUGCCACGAGAUGGCUUGAUAUUGUGAUUGGGCCAUAAGGGGCCCCUCCAGGAGUUUGCACACCCCCAGUGAGCGCGGGUACCCAUUGUGAUGUGAGAUAUAGCCCGAGGGGUUGGUAUUGUUUUGAGAUAUUGCCCGAGGGGCGGAUUUGUUGACAUUGUACCCGAGGGGCGAACCUUUAUGUGUUUAUCUUUCUUAUUUGUCUGUCAUUUACCUAUUUAAUUGUUGAAAAGACAUUUCAUGAAGUUUAAACUGAACUGAAAUGAUUUUAUAUAUCUUUACUGAUUCACUGUUUUACUGGUUUUACUGCUUCAUUAUAGCCUGUAAUGUGCCUUGCGUGUUUUCAUAUCUCUUAGUCGUUUAUUUAUGAUUUUUACUCACUGAGUUGGAGUAUUCACUUUACUCCCUACACCCUGUGUGCAGAUUCAGGCGUUGUUGAUCCUUCUAGCGCAAGUUGAGAGCUCCCGGCAGACUUCGGAGUUCACGAGGUAGUUGCUUGGCAUCUGCAAUCCCGUGUUUCUCCCCUUUUAUCUCAUUUCUAUCUCUUUAUAAGUUAUUCUGUAAUGGUUUAGUCGGCAUUCCAGACUUGUAGCGUAUUGAUAGAUACUCAUGACUAAUGACACCCCGGUAUCGGGUUGUGUUGGGUUGUAUUCCGCAAAUUGUUUUGUAUUUGUAUUGUCACUGCUUACUUUUGGAUUUAUAUCAUGUUUAAGAGUAAAUGCUUAUUGUUUAAUUGCUUAAAACUGAAUUGAAAAUGUGUCGGCUAGCCUUGUAUUCACGAGAGGCACCAUCACGAUCGGGUCCGGGUUUAGGGUCGUGACAAGUUGGUAUCAGAGCCGAGGUUACACAGGUUUCAUGAGUCAUGAGCAGGUUUAGUUGAGUCUCGCGGAUCGGUAUGGAGAUGUUUGUAUUUAUCCUCGAGAUGUUGUAUAACCUUUAGGAAAAAUUCAUGUUCUUGAAAUUCUUGUCGUGCGAAUUUGUUGAUCCAGGCACUAAACUUCUGUUAUUCUAUUCUCUCACAGAUGGUGAGGACACGUGCUACCGGUUAGGAUGGACGACCACCAGUACCACCAGCUGUGGCCACCAGAGGCCGAGGACGUGGUCGUGGUCGUGGUAGGGACAGAGGUGUGGCCUACACAGCAACUAGGGCAGCACCUGCAAAUCCACCAGUCGCCCCAGUUCAGGAUUAGGUUCCAGUUAUGGAUGCUCGAGCAGCACCAGUUGUGCCCAUUGUGAUUCCGGGUAUUCAGGAGGCCUUGGCUCAGAUUCUAUCAGUUUGCACUGGCCUAGCUCAGGAGGUCUCAACUACUACAGCCGCAUCUACUUCUCAGGCCGGGGGAGGCAAUCAGACUCCCGCCACUCGCACACCUGAGCAGGUCGUGCAGGGACUUCAAACACCGGGGGCACAUCUAUCCUAGCUAGUUGCAGCUGCUCAGGACUAUGUAGUUCAUGCCAUGCCAAAGGACGAGCAGCAUAGGUUGGAGAGGUUUGGUAGACUUCAGCCUCCGACAUUCAGUGGUGCAGAGGGCAGGGAUGCCCAGGGUUUCUUGGAUAAGUGUUAGAGGAUGCUUCGUACAGCCGGUAUUCUGGAGACCAGUGGGGUCGCUUUCACUACUUAUCAGUUUCAGUGGCAGCAGUUCUCCAUUCUCUUUCUAGAGAAGUAUGUGCCGCAGUUUCGCAGAGAGGAGCUGCGCAGGCAGCUUGAGUGGUUGCGUCAGGGAGAGAUGACUAUAAUAUAGUAUGAGAUGUGGUUCUUCGAGUUAGCUCGUCAUGCUAUUUGGUUGGUUCCGACAGAUAGAGAUAGGAUUAGGAGGUUUAUUGAUUGCCUCACUUAUCAGCUUUGUAUUCUCAUGACUAGGGAGAGGGUGACUGGUGCUACCUUCGAGGAGGUUGUAGACAUUGCUCGUGAGAUUGAGUCUGUUCGUCGCCAGGAGCGAGAGGAGAGGGAGGACAAGAGGUCUCGAGGAUCUGGUAGUUAUAGUGGUGCUUCGUCGAGAGGCCAGUUUCAGCACGGCAGAGGCCGUCCCUUCAAGCAUGCUCAGCCAGCUCGCCCAGGUAUUCGUAGGGUGUUAUCGGGUUAUGUUUCUCACAGUUCUCAUCAGGGUCAGUCAUCACUUAGUGCCCUUCUAGCUCAGAGUUCGUCCUGUGCUCCAUCAGUUCAGGGCUCUUCUAUUCCCGGUGCAUCUGCUAGUCACUCCGAUGCAAGGGGUUCCCUUCAGUCCCCUUCUCCAGCACCUGGGAGUUGCUAUGAGUAUGGAGAGAUAGGUCAUAUGUGGAGGCAGUGCCCUCGUCGUCUUGCGAGGUCAUCUUAGCAGAGGAGUCAGCCAUCGUCUUUAGCGCCAGUUACUUCACCACUACCCGCCCAGCCAACUAAGGAUGGAGGUCAGUCAGCUAGGAGUCGCCCUAGAGAGGGAGGUCGAUCAGGUGGCGGUCAUGCCCGUUUCUAUGUACUUCCAGCUGGACCUGAUGCUAUUGCUUCUAAUGUUGUUAUUAGAGGUAUUGUUUCAGUCUGCCACAGAGAUGCUUCUGUAUUAUUUGAUCCUGGUUCCACUUUUUUUUAUGUGUCAUCAUACUUUGCAUGUUAUUUAGGUACGCCCUGUGAGUCUCUUGUUUCACAUGUUCAUGUAUCUAACCCGGUGAGCGAUAUUGUUAUUGUAGACCGUGUGUACCGGUCGUGUGUGGUGACUAUUGGGGUCUGGAGACCCUAGUGGAACUUUUAUUAUUGUGUAUGGUAGAUUCGAUGUCAUUUUGGGCACGGAUUGGCUAUCUCUGUGUCGUGCUAUUCUAGACUGUCAUGCUAAGACAGUCACAUUGGCUAUACCGGGUGUGCCACAGAUUGAGUGGCGAUGUGUGAUUGACUAUGUUCCCAGUAAAGUUAUCAAAUUCUUGAAGGCCCAGCAUAUGGUUGGGAAGGGUUGUCUUUCGUAUCUAGCCUUUGUGAGGGAUGUCGGUGCAGAGAUUCCCAGUAUUGAUUUUGUUCAAGUUGUAAGGGAAUUUCACGAUGUGUUUCCUGCAGACCUGUCGGGCAUGCCACCGGAUAGGGAUAUUGAUUUUGGUAUUGGCCUGGUGUCGGGCACUCAGCCCAUUUCUAUUUCGUCGUAUCGUAUGACACCAAUGGAGUUGAAAGAGUUAAAGGAGUAGCUUCAGGAACUCCAUGAUAAGGGGUUCAUUCGGCCUAGUGUGUUACCUUGGGGUGCGUCGGUUCUAUCUGUGAAGAAGAAGGAUGGCACUAUGAGGAUGUGCAUUGAUUAUAGGCAAUUGAACAAAGUAACAAUCAAGAACAAGUAUCAUUUGCCUCGCAUUGAUGAUUUAUUCGACCAGCUUCAAGGAGCGAGAGUGUUCUCCAAGACUGAUCUCCAUUCAGGUUAUUUCCAAUUGAAGAUCAGGAACUCGGAUAUUCUUAAGACGUCUUUCAGGACCAGAUAUGGUCAUUAUGAGUUCUUGGUGAUGUCUUUUGGGCUGACCAAUGCCCCAGCAUCGUGCAUACAUUUGAUGAAUAGCGUGUUCCGGCCUUAUAUCGACUCGUUUGUCAUAGUAUUCAUUGAUGAUAUUCUGGUGUAUUCGUGUAGUCAGGAGGAGAAUGCAGAGCAUUUGAGAGUUGUGUUGCAGAGAUUGAAGGAGGAUAAGCUUUAUGCAAAAUUCUCCAAGUGUGAGUUUUGGCUCAGAUCAGUACCUUUCUUGGGGCACGUGGUGUCCAGCGAGGGUAUUCAGGUUGAUCCAAAGAAAAUAGAGGCGGUUCAGAGUUGGCCCAGACCGUCCUCAGCCACAGAGAUUCGCAGCUUUCUUGGUCUGGCAGGCUAUUAUCGCCGGNNNNNNNNNNNNNNNNNNNNNNNNNNNNNNNNNNNNNNNNNNNNNNNNNNNNNNNNNNNNNNNNNNNNNNNNNNNNNNNNNNNNNNNNNNNNNNNNNNNNNNNNNNNNNNNNNNNNNNNNNNNNNNNNNNNNNNNNNNNNNNNNNNNNNNNNNNNNNNNNNNNNNNNNNNNNNNNNNNNNNNNNNNNNNNNNNNNNNNNNNNNNNNNNNNNNNNNNNNNNNNNNNNNNNNNNNNNNNNNNNNNNNNNNNNNNNNNNNNNNNNNNNNNNNNNNNNNNNNNNNNNNNNNNNNNNNNNNNNNNNNNNNNNNNNNNNNNNNNNNNNNNNNNNNNNNNNNNNNNNNNNNNNNNNNNNNNNNNNNNNNNNNNNNNNNNNNNNNNNNNNNNNNNNNNNNNNNNNNNNNNNNNNNNNNNNNNNNNNNNNNNNNNNNNNNNNNNNNNNNNNNNNNNNNNNNNNNNNNNNNNNNNNNNNNNNNNNNNNNNNNNNNNNNNNNNNNNNNNNNNNNNNNNNNNNNNNNNNNNNNNNNNNNNNNNNNNNNNNNNNNNNNNNNNNNNNNNNNNNNNNNNNNNNNNNNNNNNNNNNNNNNNNNNNNNNNNNNNNNNNNNNNNNNNNNNNNNNNNNNNNNNNNNNNNNNNNNNNNNNNNNNNNNNNNNNNNNNNNNNNNNNNNNNNNNNNNNNNNNNNNNNNNNNNNNNNNNNNNNNNNNNNNNNNNNNNNNNNNNNNNNNNNNNNNNNNNNNNNNNNNNNNNNNNNNNNNNNNNNNNNNNNNNNNNNNNNNNNNNNNNNNNNNNNNNNNNNNNNNNNNNNNNNNNNNNNNNNNNNNNNNNNNNNNNNNNNNNNNNNNNNNNNNNNNNNNNNNNNNNNNNNNNNNNNNNNNNNNNNNNNNNNNNNNNNNNNNNNNNNNNNNNNNNNNNNNNNNNNNNNNNNNNNNNNNNNNNNNNNNNNNNNNNNNNNNNNNNNNNNNNNNNNNNNNNNNNNNNNNNNNNNNNNNNNNNNNNNNNNNNNNNNNNNNNNNNNNNNNNNNNNNNNNNNNNNNNNNNNNNNNNNNNNNNNNNNNNNNNNNNNNNNNNNNNNNNNNNNNNNNNNNNNNNNNNNNNNNNNNNNNNNNNNNNNNNNNNNNNNNNNNNNNNNNNNNNNNNNNNNNNNNNNNNNNNNNNNNNNNNNNNNNNNNNNNNNNNNNNNNNNNNAGAAGCUCAAGACAACUUUGACCACAGCUGCAGUGUUAGUUUUGCCAUCAACUUCAGGUUCAUAUACCGUGUAUUGUGAUGCUUCGAGAGUUAGUAUUGGUUAUGUUCUGAUACAGGAGGGUAGAGUUAUUGCUUAUGCUUCUCGUUAGUUGAAGUCCCAUGAGAAGAACUACCACAUUCAUGAUUUGGAGUUGGCUGCCAUAGUUCAUGCAUUGAAAAUUUGGAGGCAUUACCUGUAUGGUGUGUCUUGUGAGGUGUUUACUGAUCAUCGUAGUCUCCAACACUUGUUCAAGCAGAAGGAUCUUAAUUUGAGGCAACGGAGAUGGUUAGAGUUGCUAAAGGAUUAUGAUAUCACUAUAUUGUACCAUCCGGGAAAGGGCAAUGUGGUGGCCGAUGCUUUGAGCCGAAAGGCGGUGAGUAUAGGGAGUUUGGAAUAUAUUCUAGUUGGGGAGAGACUCUUGCAGUUGAUGUUCAGGCCUUGGCCAAUCGGCUUGUGAGGUUGGAUAUUUCGAAGCCCGGUCGGAUAUUGGCUUGUGUAGUUUCUCGGUCUUCCUUAUAUGAUCACAUCAGAGAGUGUCAGUAUGAUGAUUCGCAUUUGCUUGUCCUUAAGGUCACAGUUCAGCAUGAUGAUGUUAGAGAUGUGACCAUUGGUGAUGAUGGGGUGUUGAGGAUGUAGGGCCGGAUUUGUGUGCCCAAUGUGGAUGGGCUUCGGGAGUUGAUUCUGGAGGAGGCCCAUAGCUCGCGUUAUUCUAUUGAUCCGGGUGUCGCGAAUAUGUAUCAGGAUUUUAGGAAGCAUUAUUGGUGGAGGAGAAUGAAGAAAGACAUUGUGGGGUUUGUAGCUCAGUGUCUCAAUUAUAAGCAGGUGAAAUAUGACCAUCAGAUACCUGGUGGCUUGCUUCAGCGGAUGGAUAUCCCAGAGUGAAAGUGGGAGCAGAUCAUUAUGGACUUUAUAGUUGGACUUCUACGGACUUUGAAGAAGUUCGAUCCUAUUUGGGUGGUUAUGGAUCGUCUGACCAAGUUCGUGCACUUCAUUCCUGUGUGUACUACCUACUCUACAGAGCGGUUGGCAGAGAUCUAUAUCCGGGAGAUUGUUCGAUUGCAUGGUGUCCCAGUUUUCAUCAUUUCAGAUAGGGGCACUCAGUUUACUUCGCAGUUUUGGAGGUCUAUAUAGCGAGAGUUGCGUACUCAGGUUGAGUUGAGCACAGCUUUUCACCCUCAGAUGGACGGGCAGUCCGAGCGCACUAUUCAGAUAUUGGAGGACAUGUUACGUGCUUGUGUCAUUCAUUUCGGAGGGUCAUGGGAUCGGUUUCUACUACUUGCAGAGUUUGCUUAUAACAACAACUACCAAUCGAGUAUUCAGAUGCCUUUAUAUGAGGCUUUGUAUGGGAGGCGGUGUAGAUCUCCAGUUGGUUGGUUUGAGCCGGGUGAGGCUAGGCUUUUGGGGACAGACUUGGUGCAUGAUGUUUUAGAAAAGGCGAAGGUGAUUCAGGAGAGGCUUCAUACANNNNNNNNNNNNNNNNNNNNNNNNNGCGCAGUCGAGGCAAAAGAGUUAUGCUGACAAGAAGGUUCGAGAUGUGUCCUACAUGGUUGGUGAGAAGGUUCUGUUGAAGGUUUCGCCCAAGAAGGGUAUUAUGAGAUUUGGGAAGAGAGGUAAAUUGACUCCUCGAUUCAUUGGGCCUUUUGAGGUGCUUCAGAGGAUUGGGGAGGUGGCUUAUGAGCUUGCUCUGUCACCCAGCUUGUCGAGUGUGCAUCUAGUAUUUCAUGUUUCUAUGCUCCGGAAGUAUAUUGGGGAUCCGUCUCAUGUUCUAGAUUUCAGCACAGUUCAGUUGGAUGAUGAUUUGACCUAUGAUGUGGAGCUAGUAGCUAUUUUGGGUCGUCAGGUUCGAAAGUUUAGGUCAAAGGAUAUAGCUUCAGUGAAAGUACAAUGGAGAGGUCGGCCCGUGGAGGAGGCUACCUGGGAGACCGAGCGGGAGAUGCGGAGCAGAUAUCCUCACAUGUUUGAGGCUUCAGGUAUGUUUCUUGACUCGUUCGAGAACGAACGUUUGUUUAAGUUGGGGAGGAUAUGAUGACCCGGCCAGUCGUCUCAUGAGUUACCGCUCCGUUCCUCCUAUUUUUGCCUUUUAUUGCUUUGUCCAUCGGUUCUAUAUGUGAUCAGGUUGGUUAGUUUGGGUUCGGAAAGGAUUUGGUAAGGUUUGAGAUACAUAGUCUCUUUUGAGGAAGCUUAAGUUGGAAAAGUCAACUAGAUUUUGACUUAUGUGUUAGAGGGCUCGGAUGUGAGUUUCGAUGGUUCGGUUAGCUUCGGGAGGUGAUUUUGGACUUAGGAGCGUGAUCAGAAUGAGUUUUGGAGGUCCGGAGUAGAUUUAGGCUAGAAUUGGCGAAAUUGGAUUUUUGGUGAUUUCCGGUUGAUAGGUGAGAUUUGGAUAUAGGGGUCGGAAUGGAACUCCGAGAGUUGCAGUAGUUUCGUUGUAUCAUUUGGGAGGUGUGUGCAAAAUUUCAGGUCAUUCGGACGUGGUUUAGUUGAGUCUUUUAUCAAAAGCAUAAUUUAUAAGAUUUUAGAAUUCUUAAGCUUGAAUCCGAUGCGAAUUUGGUGUUUUAAUGUUGUUUUGAGCGUUCUGAAGGUUGGAACAAGUUUGAAUGAGGUUAUGGGAUAUGUUUUCACAUUUGGUUGAGGUACGCGGGGCCUCGAGUGAGUUUCGGGUGGUCAAUCGAACCAUUUCAUGAUGUUUGGAANNNNNNNNNNNNNNNNNNNNNNNNNUUGCUGAAAAUUGUUGUGUGUUGCAGAGGAUUUGGACAUUCGCGUUCGCGAGUGGGUCCUCGCGUUCGCGAAGGGUCAGUUGGUGAAGGCUGGGAUUUAAGCCUUCGCGUUCGUAAGGAAAGCUCCGUGUUAGCAAAGGGCUGAGUGUUUGGUCAUCGCGUUCGCGUGAAGGGGACCGCGUUCGCGCAAAGGAAAUUGGUCAGUUGGGGUUUGAGGUGUUUUGUUCAUCGCAUUCGCGUGUGAUGGAGCGCGUUCGCGAAGAUUUUUUUGAGGAACCAUUGCAUUCGCGAUGGGCAGGUCGCGAUCGCGAAGAGGAAUUUUUGGUCAAAGUUAUUUUGUGCUUCGCGAACGCGAGGCGUUGACCGCGUUCGCGAAGAAGGAAAUGAGGCCUGGGCAGAAUGUUUAAAUAGUCGUCUUGUUCGCGAUUUUGGGGUUUAUUUCCACCAUUGUUAAACUUUUUUGGAGCUUUUUGAAGAGGAUUGAAGAGGGAUUCAAGAGGAAUCACUUGGAUCUAAGAUUCAUGGACUUAAAACUCGAUUCUAAUGUGAAAUUUACCUAAUUAAUCAUGCAAAUUAAGCCUAAAAUUGAAGAACUAGGGCUUGAAAUUGGAGACCUAGAAUUUGGGAUUUGUUGUUGGAUUUUGAUGAUUUUGGUAUGAAUGAACUCGGGGAGUGAUAAGGAAUCCAUUGAUGUGAAUUUUAUCGGAAUCCGAGACAUGGGCCCGGGAGUUCGAUUUUGGUAAUAUCGAGAUUUAUGUUGUAAAUUGAUUAUGUUCGCUUGGGCUUCGUUCCCUUAGCAUAUUUUGACGUCAUGAUUCUGAUUUUGGAUAGAUUUGACGCGAGUGGAGGUCGAUUCGAGAGGCAAAGGCGUCACGGGCUAGAGUUUGGACAGGAUUGAGGUGAGUAAUGAUUGUAAAUGAUGUCCUAAGGGUAUGAAACCCCGGAUUGCACAUCAUUGUGCUAUAUUGAGGUGACGCACAUGCUUGAUGACGAGCGUGGGGUCAUGCACUGUUGGGGACUGUGACUUAGUCCAUUCCGAAUGACUAUUUUACCGCGUAUUUGAUUGAAAUCUAUUUGUGAACAUCAUGUUUUGGGUUGAAUGCCAUAUUUGGGCCUUGUGCCAACUAUUUGAACCCUUAGGGGAUUUUUAUAAUAUUUCCUCACUGUUUUGACUUUAUACUUGAACUCAGUUAUGUUAUAUUCCACUGUUUUCAUAACUCGGCCAUGUUUACUCUGUUUUAAGACUUAAAUGAUAUUUAAAAUAAUUUUUUGGGUUGAGAACCAUGUUUUACUAUAGCCCGAGUGGCUUGUGAGGAUUUUGACUGAGUAAGGCCGAGGGCCUAUGCUGUGAGGAAACACUGACUAUGAUUAUGAGGCCGAGGGCCUGAGAUAUGUAUGCCAUGAGGUGGCUUGUUGAUAUGAGGCCGAGAUCCUAGUGAUGAUGCCACGAGAUGGCUUGAUAUUGCGCUUGGGCCAUAAGGGGCCCCUCCAGGAGUUUGCACACCCCCAGUGAGCGCGGGUACACAUUAUGAUGUAAGAUAUAGCCCGAAGGGCUGGUAUUGUCCUGAGAUAUUGCCGGAGGGGCAGAUUUGUUGACAUUGUGCCCAAGGGGAGUACCUUUAUGUGUUUAUCUUUCUUAUUUGUGUGUCAUUUACCUGUUUAAUAGUUGAAAAGACAUUUCAUGAAGUUUAAAUUGGACUUAAAUGAUUUUACAUAUCUUUACUAAUUCACUGUUUUACUAGUUUUAUUGCUUCAUUAUAGCCUGUAAUGUGGCUUACGUGUUUUUAUAUCUCUCAGUCAUUUAUUUUGAUUAUUACUCACUGAGUUAGAGUAUGCACUUUACUCCCUGCACCCCGUGUGCAGAUUCAGGCGUUGCUGAUCCUGCUAGCGCGAGUUGAGAGCUCCCGGCAGACUUUGGAGUUCACGAGGUAGCUGCUUGGCAUCCGCAGUCCCGUGUUUCUCCCCUUUUAUCUUAUUUAUAUCUCUUUAUCAAUUAUUCUGUAAUGGUUUAGUAGGCAUUCCAGACUUGUAGCGUAUUGAUAGAUGCUCAUGACUAGUGACACUCCGGUAUCGGGCUUUCAGUAAACUAUUGAAGCUAUCGAGAGAGUACCAAAUGGUGAUGGUGAUGAAGGUUAUCGAUUUUCGUUGUGCUUGUAUUAAGCGGGGUCAACAUAUUUUUUGUAGCAAUAGUUUUUAUAUGAAAGAUAAAAUUUAUUUUUCAAAGAAGCGGGGUCAUAUAAACCCUCUUGACCCCAUAUGGGACCAUCCUUGGAGCAAAGGCAUUAUUCUUUCUUUUGAUCCCUUAGUAUUAGAACUAGUUGGAGGUAGCCCGGGUUGUGCCCGGGCCCAAGAACCUUAUUAAUUUUUAUUUAACAUAAAAAAACAUUUGUUUACAAGUCAUGAAACAAAGCUGGAAGAAAUCUAUACAAUUUGAUUCAAAAUGUUUCAAAACGAAGAGUACAAAGUGCUACAAUUCUACCAGUUCCCUAAUUCUUGUGUUAUUAGGAAGUAGAAUAUUUUUGCCUUAUGGCCGAGACAACAAGCUAAUCUGAAAAAUAUACAAGCAAAAAAUAUCUUAGCACAUGUGUGUAAUACAAGUUAUCAGAAUGGAAAAAGUAGAACCAUCAGGCAACAUUCUGAUAUAUUUAUAUUAACUGUAUUUCAGAAAUUGAAAUAGAAUUACCUAUUUCAACUUCUAGGAACAACGGCUUCACUGUUAGUAGAUAAAAGUCAUAAAAGAGAGAAAUGCAUUGGAGCACAGGAAUGAGAAAACGGGAUAGUGAGCAAAUAUCAUUUACGAAAGAACUUUAGAUGAACUCUAGAGUUUCGGAACAUCUAUCAAACACUUGAAAUUCGAGAGUUUUCUACCUUGUACAUGAUAAGAACCUCUGUAAAGUUUUCGCAUCUCCUCUAUGAUUAUUUGAAGCAGUUGAUUCAAGAAGUUGCAUGAAGCAGUUUACAGCUGAAGUAUCAAUUUUCUGAGCAAUUAUGUUUGCUACUUUAUUUGUUGCAAUAGUAUAAUUGUAAGUCCAAAACUGGUUUGACCCUUGAUUAUGACAGAAAGCAACAAGCAUUAUACUGAUCCCAACAAUGGAUAGUGGUGGAAACACGAGCAGAGAAAAGGGAUUUCCAUUGACAAGCAUCUAAACUAAAAUUCGUAUAACAUGCUACAAAAUGGUGCACUUAUGCAGUUUAUCUUGUCCAAGCCUCCUAUAGUAGCCCAGUUAUCUGCAUUCCAUGUGCUAGAAAGUACUUACAUUGGCCUGUCAAUUGGAAAAGAAAUUGUUCGUCUGAUUCGCGUUCUUGUAUACCCUUAUUGGAACCUUAUUCAUAAAAAAUCUGCAUUCAAAAGAGUAUUGAUCGUCAUUAACUAUACCUUAAUCUCAAAUAUGUUGUGCUUAGGUAAAUUUGUUCAACAUGAAACUUUUUGUUGAAAUUAUAGUACACAAUGGAAGUCCAGAGUAGGGUCACACCAGAGAAAAUGCCCCAUCUUACAUUCAUCACUGCCAUUAUUGUACACAAUGGUCUGAAUAAGAUAAGGCUGUGUUGUUCUGUUUCCGAAGAGAUUUUGAGAAGUCUUGAAAUGAGUAAUAGGACACAUUUUACUGAAGUUGUUUAUCACCAAUGAGAGAGCACCAACAGGACAGUAGCCAAUUCCAUACAGAAACUUCAGUUGAAGAGCACGGUGUUUACACAGUUCCUACCAAUAUAUGAGCAAAAGCAAAAAAAAUACGCGACUUUUAGAAAGAAUGGAGAUAUUGACAGAGUUUAUUUAGAUUACAUUAUAACAAUCUUAUUUGCUAAUGUCAUCAAGCUGGUGUUGUGGGAUUUUUUAUCUGUAAGCAUAUAUAUUUCGAAUAAUUUAUAUAUUUUCAUCAUCACAUAAGUUGGAACAUCAGUUCAAAUGCACUGUAUCACCUAAUUAAAUGUUCCUAUAAAUUAUUUUACCAUUUCCCUUCUGCAAUUUUAAUCUUUCUUCAUAUUUUUUAUCUUUAUUUUUUCUCCUCCGAGAUUUUAAUAUAUAGUAGGUCAAUGUAAUUUCUUGCUAAUUUUUAGUUAAAAAAUUUAAGGAAUGUCUAAAUGCUUCGCCUCAAAUUUGAUCAUUGUACUUGUACCCCACUGCAGGAGAAAAGCUUAAUUCAUUGAAUAAUUUUGUCAGACACCUAAGGGUAGAGGCUAAAACAGAAACACAGAAGCUACACACACAGAAAGAGAAGAGCAUGGAGGCAUUGGAAAUAUUACAGUAUAAACUGAUCUCACCCCGAAGGUGAUCAAACGCAAAUUUAUAGCAGUAAGAAACUCGAAGAACAGAGUGAAACUAAAUAGAAAGAUAAAUAGAGUGUGACCUGAAUAAUCGUACAGGAAAGAAAAGUGAAAUCGGAUAUUGCCCACCAUUUACCCAAAAGCAAAAAUACCAGAUGGCCUUUAUAAGGAGUGUGAGUCAGCAAACUGAGUAGGAGCAAUUUGACAAACCUGAUCAACAAAGAUGCUGCAGAAAAAGUAUAUGAUUAUCUAGCUUAAUAAUAUUAUUGUUUCAACUAUUAAAAAUAUUAAUGUGACAAAGUUGAAUAAAGGACCAUAAUGUCUAUUUUUCUUUCUGUUUUUACGAUUAGAUCAUGUUUCACAACAGUUUUCAUGGCUUUAAACCUUAGGUUUUUUAAUCAGAAACUUUGAUGCAGUGUAUAAUCUCACAAGAUGAUCAGCAGACACAAACCUUAGGUGAACUUGUUUGCAUUCUUUUAUGCCUUUUUCUCAACCAAAGCUACCGUUGGAUUGAUCACUGCAGGUUACUUACUAGACACAGUCCAUUCUCUUUUGGGAACCACUCUCCACAGAGGACUCUUAUAUCUUUCACUUGAUUAUUUAAUUCAUAGAUACCCUCUUAGUAGAUCUAAAUUAUGGUGAAAAGAACAAAUACCUAGUCAAACACUCUAGUAUCUUGUGAGAAAUCAUGAGAAUAUACUCUUACAUGUGAACUAAGUAGCACUUGAUGUAGGCCUUGUGUUUGUCCUGUGUUAAAAAAAUUGAAAUUAAGGUAAGUAGCAUGUACCUACUUGUUCAGUUUAUGCGCAAUCAGAGAGUAAAUAUUCUGAGAUUUGAAGAAAUAUUUAUAGCCAAUUUGGUAUUGUUUCUGAAAAGGUUUGCAACCUUUUAGAACAGCCAUAGCUGUUGGAACAAGUUUGACACUAUUUCAGAACAGCCAUAGCUGUUGGAAAUAUUGCGGGAAAAUUAAAACGGAUUUAAAAUAAUCCGAAAAAGAAAACGGGUCGAACCCGACCGGGUCGCGGGUCAUGGGUUAUAUCGGAUUGAAUUUUUUUUAAUUAAUUAAUUAAAUAUUUGAAAAGAAUUUUGUCCAAAAAGAUUAAUCAAUCAAUCUUUGACCGAAGCUGAAGCCGAGUCAAGCGAUCGACGAUGACGACGAUGCGAGGCUUGCCUUCUUCUUAACUCUUUAAGAGCUAAAAGAUGAGCUUCUCUAUAUAUACACAAAGAUUUUCUUUGCUUCUACCAAUGAGGGACAACGUGCAUUAGAUAAAUGAACUCAUUCAAAAUUUUGCUUCACUUCAUUUCUUUUCCCACCAUUUUCCAUUCACACCUCUUUUGUUAUUAAUAAAUAAUAACAAAAUCCAACAAUUCUAUCCCGACAUCUAUGUGAAAGUCAAGAUAUUAUAUGUAUAUAUUGCUUAUCUUUCCCAUUCGAAUAACUUCACCUCAUCCCCAACUAACCAAUUCUGAAUGUAGUAUAAUUGUUUCCUCCAAAACUGUAAAUUUAAAAGCUAUACAUCACAAUAUAAGGUCAUGAGUCCUUAAGAACUCUUUCACAAUAAAUCCAGCAUAAUCCCAAAGUUGGAAUUACCAUUAUAUAAAAUACUAGAGAAAUCUCUAAUGACGACUUUGUGUGGAAAGAUAUGUAAACACAAAAGAUUCACAGGUCAAAAAGUAAUCUAUUGUUCUGAUCAUUUCAUUACUGCUUAUCUACAGUUUCAUCUUCUCUCUUGGAGUAGAAGGAGAUAACAAUAUGGCGGUAUCUUACUUACAAUUUAUCACUUUAAUAUUCUAUUUUCUUCUUUUUCAAGACUCCGAACAUUAUUUGCUAAACAGCUGAAUCGUAAAUUGCAAGUACAAUAGGUUUGAAAGUUCAAAUGAGACUAACUUGAUAGUUAAAUGUACAUUACGUGGGUUGAGUUGUAUCACAGUGUAAGCAUAAUUUUUUUAUUAGCAUCACGAAGGAAGAUCAGCACAGUUGCAGGCAGAUUUGUCACAUUGGGGAGACUUUACUAAUAGAACGCCUCUCGAAUGGCACCGAUCUUAUAUGCUCUCGUAAUAGUAUGAUGGAACAGAGGAAUAAUAGCACCUUCAAAUUUGGCGUAACGCCUGGUAUUGAUGGUUGUGGAAUUAAAGUCUUUCCAGAUAAUGCUUUCACUGCAAAAUAUAAUAAACGAGAAAUCAAAAGCUCCAAGAUUGUAUUGAGGAACACAAGACAUUCUUUGUGGUGGCCCGUAACAAACUUACCAGAUAUUGGUAAGUAUGAACAAGGAAAUUCCAGAAGCCAAAAGCAUAUCCUUCCUGAAGAAGUUCAUCUAAGCACAUAAGGAUGAUAGCAGCAAAGAAGAGUUGAAGGAUAACUAGGAUAGCAUUUCCAACACCCAAUUGGCUAACACUGCCAUAAAUCCCUGACAGAACAUAAGUAAGUGCCUCGCCAAUAACAAUCACGAUAUCCAACAACUUUUGAGCACCAUUACUGUGUAAGAUAAAUUUAUCGAGAGAGCACAUCAGAGAGUUUCAUUGAACAGAACAGCUAAUAGAAACAUUAUAAAACCAAGUUAGCUUAAUAGCAAGAACGAAAUUUUGUUAAAUAAAAUGAGUAAUAAGUACAAAAAAGACGCAUCCCUUUCUUUCGUGGUGGAGCGAGUGAAGUAGAUUUAGAUAGAAGCGUCAGAUGAAGACAAAAAGUCAGUAUAAGUUCAAGAGUGAGAACAUUCAAAGCAUGAAGUUUGUCUUGCAAAUCCAUAUAAAAGAACUCAUAUAGGCUUUGCAAACUGAUUUGAGCAUAAUAAACGUUAUAGAUCAUAUCAUCCUCAAAAAUCUAAGAGACAACUAACAAAAUGAACUGAUGCAAAAUACAUAUAGUUGUUAAAAGAGUAAACAAACAAAACAAAAGAAAUAAUAAUAUUCAAAACAUAUUAACUUACAGGAGUGGUCGGUCCUCGUGAAACACAUCGACUAAUAUUCAUAUGGUGAUAAUGUAGUAGUUAGAACAUCAUAUAAUUGUGAAGAUUUCAAAGAUGAUGUCAUAGUUAUUUACUAUAAACAGAGGAGACUGAGAUUCUUGCUAAUAUUGCUGUCAAAUUUGAGGUAUACAUAGUUAAUUGUAGCUAUUGACAAGAACAAAUUUAUCUGUAUAGUUCUUCAAAACUCUUGAACUCCAUCAAACAAAUUACUUGUUAUUGUGUUCAUUCUUUAAGCUCACCUGUAGGUUGCAGCUGCUACCAUUUUUUCGUGGUUGAUUUGUUUUGCACUACUCAUCAAACAAAUAUCCACUAAUAAGCUUUUUUAUUUAUCAAGAACAAUUUUAGAAAAGGCCAGAGAUCCAACAUAAUCUCAGUAGAUAACCAUAAUCUUGUAACAUAUAUCCGUCUAAAUUAAAAUAAUCUCAAUAGCAUUUAUGUGACGACCCGGCCAGUCGUCUCAUGAGUUACCACUCUGUUUCCCCAUUUAUGCUCCUUAUUGCUUUGUCUAUCGGUUUUAUAUGUGAUCGGGUUGGUUGGCUUGGGUUCGGAAAGGAUUUGGUAAGGUUUGAGACACUUAGUCUCUUUUGAGGAAGCUUAAGUUGUAAAAAUCAACUGGAUAUUGACUUAUGUGUUAGAGGGCUCGGAUGUGAGUUCUAAUGGUUCGGAUAGCUUCGGGAGGUAAUUUGGGACUUAGGAGCAUGAUCGAAAUGANNNNNNNNNNNNNNNNNNNNNNNUCGGUUGAUAGGUGAUAUUUAGAUAUAGGGGUCGGAACGAGGGUAUUCAGGUUGAUUCGAAGAAGAUAGAGUGGUUUAGAGUUGUCCCAGACCGUCAUCAGCCACAGAGAUUCAUAGUUUUCUUGGUUUGGCGGGUUAUUAUCGCCGGUUUGUUUAGGGAUUUUCAUCCAUCGCAUCGCCCUUGACCAAGUUUACUCAGAAGGGUGCUUCAUUUGUAUGGUCGUAUGAGUGUGAGGAGAGCUUUCAGAAGCUCAAGACAGCCUUGACCACAGCUCCAGUGUUAGUUUUGCCAUCAGCUUCAGGUUCAUAUACCGUGUAUUGUAAUGCUUCGAGAGUUGGUAUUGGUUGCGUUUUGAUGCAGGAGGGUAGAGUUAUUGCUUAUGCUUCUCGUUAGUUGAAGCCCCAUGAAAAGAACUACCCCGUUCAUGAUUUGGAGUUGGCUGCCAAGUUCACGCGUUGAAGAUUUUGAGGCAUUACUUGUAUGGUGUGUCUUGUGAGGUGUUUACUGAUCAUCGUAGUUUCCAGCACUUGUUCAAACAGAAUGAUCUCAAUUUGAGGUAGCGUAGGUGCUUGGAGUUGCUAAAGGAUUAUGAUAUCACUAUAGUGUACCAUCCGAGAAAGGCCAAUGUGGUGGCCGAUACUUUGAGCCGAAAGGCGGUGAGUAUGGGGAGUUUAGCAUAUAUUCCAGUUGGGGAGAGACCUUUUGCACUUGACGUUCAGGCCUUGGCCAAUCGGUUUGUGAGGUUGGAAAUUUCCAAGGCCAGUCGGGUAUUGGCUUGUGUGGUUUCUCGGUCUUCCUUAUAUGAUCGCAGCAGAGAGUGUCAGUAUGAUGAUCCGCAUUUGCUUGUCCUUAAGGACAGAGUUCAGCAUGAUGAUGCCAGAGAUGUGACCAUUGGUGAUGAUGGGGUGUUGAGGAUGCAGAGCCGGAUUUGUGUGCCUAAUGUAUAUGGGCUUCGGGAGUUGAUUCUGGAGGAGGCCCAUAGCUCGCGGUAUUCCAUUCAUCUGGGUGCUGCGAAGAUUUAUCAGGAUUUGAGGCAGCAUUAUUAGUGGAGGAGAAUAUAGAAAGAUAUUGUGGGAUUUAUAGCUCGGUGUCUCAAUUGUCAGCAGGUGAAAUAUAAGCAUUAGAGACCGGGUGGCUUGCUUCAGCAGAUGGAUAUUCCAAAGUGGAAAUGGGACCAGAUCACUAUAGACUUUGUAGUCGGACUUCCAUGGACUUUGAAGAAGUUCAAUGCUAUUUGGGUGAUUGUGGAUCGGCUAACCAAGUCUGCGCACUUCAUUCCUGUGUGUACUACUUAUUCUUUAGAGCAGUUGGUAGAGAUCUAUAUCCGGGAUAUUGUUCGUUUGCAUGGUGUCCCAGUUUCCAUCAACUCAGAUAGGGGCACUCAGUUCACUUCGCAGUUUUUGAGGUCUGUACAGCGAGAGUUUGGUACUCAAGUCGAGUUGAGCACAGAUUCUCACCCUUAGAAGGACGGGCAGUCCAAGCGCACUAUUCAGAUAUUGAAGGACAUGUUGCAUAAUUGUGUCAUUGAUUUCGGAGGGUCAUGGGAUCAGUUUCUACCACUUGCAGUGUUUGCUUAAACAACAGCUAUCGGUCGAGUAUUCAUAUGGCUCCAUAUGAGGCUUUGUAUGGGAGGCGGUGUAGAUCUCCAGUUGGUUGGUUUGAGCUAGGUGAGGCUAGGCUAUUGGGGACAGACUUGGUGCAGGAUGUUUUAGAAAAGGUGAAGGUGAUUCAGGAUAGGCUUCGUACAGCACAGUUGAGGCAAAAGAGUUAUGCUAACAAGAAGGUUCGGGAUGUGUCCUACAUGGUUGGUGAGAAGGUUCUGUUGAAGGUUUCGCCCAUGAAGGGUGUUAUGAGGUUUGAGAAUAAAGGUAAAUUGAGUCUUCGAUUCAUUGGACCUUUUGAGGUGCUUCGGAGGAUUGGGGAGGUGGCUUAUGAGCUUGCUUUGCCACCCAGCUUGUCGAGUGUACAUCUGGUAUAUCAUGUGUCCAUGCUUCGAAAGUAUAUUGGGGAUCCGUCUCAUGUUUUGGAUUUUAGCACUAUUCAGUUGGAUGAUGAUUUGACCUAUGAUGUGGAGCCAGUAGCUAUUUCGGGUCGUCAGGUUCGAAAGUUGAGGUCAAAAGAUAUAGCUUCAGUGAAAGUGCAGUGGAAAGGUCAGCCCGUGGAGGAGGCUAUCUGGGAAACCAAGCGAGAGAUGCGGAGCAGAUAUCCUUACCUGUUUGAGGCUUCAGGUAUGUUUCUUAACUCAUUCGAGGACGAACGUUUGUUUAAGUUGGGGAGUAUGUGACGACCCGGUCAGUCGUCUCAUGAGUUACCGCUCUAUUUCCCCCAUUUCUGCUCCUUAUUACUUUGUCUAUCGAUUCUAUAUGUGAUCGNNNNNNNNNNNNNNNNNNNNNNNNNAGUUCCAAUGGUUCAAAUAGCUUCGGGAGGUGAUUUGGGACUUAGGAGCGUGAUCAGAAUGAGUUUUGGAGGUCCGGAGUAGAUUUAGGCUUGAAUUGGCGAAAGUGAAUUUUUGACGUUUUCCGGUUGAUAGGUGAGAUUUUAAUAUAGGGUCUAGAAUGGAAUUCCGAGAGUUGUAGUAGUUCUGUUGUGUCACUUAGGAUGUGUGUGCAAAAUUUCAGGUCAUUCGGACGUGGUUUGGUUGGGUUUUUGAUCAAAGGCAUAAUUCGGAAGAAUUUGGAAAACUUAGGCUUGAAUCCGAUGUAUUUUGGUUGAUUCGAUGAUGUUUGAGGUGUUUUGAAGAUUGGCAUAAGUUUGAAUAAGGUUAUGGGAUAUGUUUGUACUUUUGGUUGAGGUCCCGGGGGCCUCGGGGUGACUUCGGAUGGUUGAUGGAGAAGUUUGGAAUUUUGGUAAGCUGCAGAUUUUCUACUUCUGGUAUUUCCGCACCUGCGGAUUGGGGACCGUAGGUGCGAUGCCGCAGAUGCAGACGAUUGGUCGCAGAAGCGGAAAAUGGCUGGAAAGGAAGAACCGCAGAAGCGGUUGUUGGAUCGCACCUGCGAAGGCGCAGGUGCGGAAUGUUCAUCGCAGAUGUGAAAAGUUGAGACUUAAGUGAGGACCGCAAAUGCGGUGGUCUUGACGCAGAAGCGGUACCGCAAAAAUAGGAAUUGGGCCGCAGAUGCGAAAUCCCUGGGCCAGAAAGUAUAAAUUGUUUCCUUCGCGAUUUUUGAGCCAUUCCACCAUUUCUACGUUGGCUUUGGAGCUUUUUAGAUGAUUUUGAAGAAGGAUUUCAAGGGAACUUUAUUGAGGUAACGAUUUUGGACCUAAAACUCGUUCCUAUUGUAAUAUUUCACGGAUUAGAGCUAUAAUUAAUGGAAUUAAGGGUUAAAAUUGGGGAAACUAGGGCUUGGUAUUGGAGACCCAGACUUGAGGAUUUGAGGGACCAUUUGUGGUCAGAUUUUGGUACUUUUGAUAUGUAUGAACUCGUGGUGGGAUGAGGAAUCUAUUGAUGUGAAUUUUAUCGAAUCCCGAGACGUGGGCCCGGGGGUCGAAUUUUAGUAAUUCGGGACUUAGGUUGUAAAAUGAUUAUUUUCGCUUGGGCUUCAUUCCCUUAGCAUAUUUUGACGUCAUGAUUCUAAUUUUGGAUAGAUUCAACGCGAGUGAAGACCGAUUCGAGGGGCAAAGGCCUCGCGGGCUAGAGUUUGGACCGGAUUGAGGUGACUAAUGAUUGUAAAUGAUUUUCUGAGGGUAUGAAAUCCCGGAUUGCACAUCGUUGUGCUAUAUUGAGGUGACGCACACGUUAGAUGACGAGCAUGGGGUCGUGCACUAUUGGGGAUUGUGACUUAGUCCGUCCCGAAUGACUGUUUUACCGCGUAUUUGACUGAAAACUAUUUGUUAUCAUCAUGUUUUGGGCUGAACACCAUAUUUGGGUUUCGUGCCAAUUAUUUGAACCCUUAGGGGAUUUUUAUUGAUAUUUCCUCACUGUUUUGACUUUAUACUUGAACUCAAUCAUGUUAUAUUCUAUUGUUUUUCAUAACUCAGCCAUGUUUACACUACUUUAACACUUAAAUGAUAUUUUGGGUUGAGCACUAUGUUUUACUAUUGCCCAAGCGGCUGUGAGAUUCUGACUGAGUAAGGCCGAGGGCCUAUGUUGUGAGGAAACAUUGAUGUUGAUAUGAGGCCGAGGGCCUAGUGAUGAUGCCACGAGAUGGCUUGAUAUUGCGCUUGGGCCGUAAGGAGCCCCUCCAGGAGUCUGCACACCCCCAGUGAGCGCGGAUACCCAUUGUGAUGUGAGAUGUAGCCCGAAGGGCUGGUAUUGAUCUGAGAUAUUGCCCGAGGGGCGGAAUUGUUGACAUUGUACCCGAAGGGCGAACCUUUAUGUGUUUAUCUUUCUUAUUUUUUCGUCAUUUACCUGUUUAAUUGUUGAAAAGGCAUUCCAUGAAUUAUAAACUGAACUUAAAUGAUUUUAUAUUUCUUGACUGAUUCACUAUUUUUACUGGUUUUACUGCUUCAUUAUAGUAUGUAAUGUGCCUUACGUGUUUUCAUAUCUCUCAAUCAUUUAUUUAUGUUUAUUACUCACUGAGUUAGAGUACUCACUUUACUCCCUGCACCCCGUGUGCAGAUUCAGGCGUUGUUGAUCCUGCUAGUGCGAGUUGAGAGCUCCUGGCAGACUUCGGAGUCCACGAGGUAGUUGUUUGGCAUCCGCAAUCCCGUGUUUCUACCCCUUUAUCUUAUUUAUAUCUCUUUAUCAGUUAUUCUGUAAUAGCUUAUAUAUUUUUCAGACUUGUGUUGGAAUUGAUAGAUGCUCAUGACUAAUGAUACCCCGGUAUCGGGCUGUGUUGGGUUGUAUUCCGCAAAUUGCUUUGUAUUGUCACCGUUACUUUUGAAUUUAUAUCAUGUUUAAGACUAAAUGCUUAUUGUUUAAUUGCUUAAAACUGAAUUGAAAAUUUGUCGGUUGGCCUUGUCUUCACGAGAGGCGCCAUCACGACCGGGUCCGGGUUUGGGGUCGCGACAAGAUAGCGAUCAACAAUAAUGAGAGACAAUUCAUCGUAUAGCACAUCACCAAAUAAAAGACUGGUAAAACACAAAUUUAUCUAUAAAUUAGAGAUUCAAAGCAUACAUCAUAGCAUGAACCAAGCUGUUAUAAUUUCUUUGUUUUCCUUUUAUACUUUUUUCAAAUAUAUUAUCUGAUGAUGCUUAUAUGGUCUAAAGCAAGACCUUGUUAUUAAAAUCAUUUGUCCAAGGGAAUAACAGAGAAACAUUCCUCGUGUAGGCAACUAAUGAAGAAAUUAUAUCAAAAGCUACAAAGCAUGAGUAUAUAAUUCAACUUCUAACAGGGAAAUUCACCUUCAUGUUUGUCUUGCUGAACUGAUGGAUAUCUUGACUCCAAAUGAUGAAGCAUUACAAAAUUGAAUAGGUCAGGAUGGCAUUGCUAAGUACUGAAAGGAGGGUAAAACAUAGAAAAAAUGAACAGUGGUGCGGAUGGCACUGGAGCAAUACAUCAUAAGAAACAUAAAUAAGAAAAUUCGGCUACAAGUAAUAAGAGUAGUAAAGCAGAUAAUAGCAGGGCAAUGCUAAAUGGUAACUCUAGACAUUAGAGAAAACAUUAUUCAUUUUUUUUUAUAAACUUUCUUAUUUCACCAAAAUCAAGUUAAAAACCUAUAUUCUUUACUGACAAAGAAUCAAACCUUUAAUUUCUUUUAAAAGAACCAAGUAGUUCUCUACAGAGAAUAUAAAUGAAAUAGCCAAAAUUAUUACUCUUUCAACUGUUGCCCCUUAGAAUUAUUAAUUGAGUAUUUUUGCUACAAAUAUCACAUGUUUUCCAUCAAAUAAUACACCUAAACCGUCAACAGUAACAAUUAUUAAAAUAGAAAGUGCCAAAUAGGUAUAAAUGACUUUAGAAUUUAACAGAGUUGUAUAGAGUGAACAUCACAAUUAUUUUUGCGGCAUGUGAAGCAUAAAAAUUAUUACCUGGCAUUAGUUAAUUGAAUGCUUUUUGAAUAACUUCAUCAUAAACUAUGUUAUACGUUGAGUGAUUAUCCUCAAUGUCUGAUGUCAGCGGUCAAAUUAAUAAUUUCACACCUUCUGAACUUUUAGCUCUUGAUAAAGCAACAUAAAGUUGACCAUGGGAAAAAUUGGUUCACGUAAAUAAAUUUCAACAAAAUCCAAAGUUUGACCUUGAACUUUAUUUAUAGUCAUAGCAAAGCAUAAGAGUACUGGAAAUUGUAUUCUUUUAAAAGCAAUUGGAAUUUUUUCAUCUUGUGAUGCUUAAGUGGUAUUCUUAGAAUAAAAACAUGUCUAUUUUGAAAAUCACCGUUAGCAAUUUUGGCACUUAUAACAUGUGUGUUUAAAACUACAACAUGUUAACUGUGUGUCGUUACAUAAACCUUCACAAGGACUUAAAUUUCGUAGUAACAUUAUUGGACAAUUUUCUUUUAAAGUUAAUCUGUAAAGAGGCAAACCAGCAGGAUUUAAAGUAUGAAAAUAAUCUUCGAAUUGACCUUGGUCAUUCGGUUCAACAGUUUCAUCAAUUGCAACAUAUGUUCUAGCAUCUUUUGGGAAUCUAGAUAUGAGCAUGUCAUUUAUUUCAUGAACAAAAUUAUUUUUUGUUGUCAAGAUCACACGAGAAGCUAUGGAGGAAGAAUCAUCAAAUAAGGAAUCUUUAUUGGGAUAUGUUACCUCAAAUAACUCAUUCAAGGAUUCUUCUUCAGUUGUAAAAGGAAUGAUCAACAUUUCCAAUUCUCAUCAAGUAUUCACAAAAGCUAGGACCUGUUCUUGCACGCAUAUUCUCUGACAGCUGUAGUUUUUCUAGUUGAUUCCAAAUUUCAGAGUAUAGUAAACUUUCAGAAAUGAAGUCUUCUUUUUUUCAUUUCGAACAACUGAAAGAGUUUGUCUAAAAUCACCUCCAAAAACAACUACUUUUCCACCAAAGAGCAUCUUAGUAUCCAUUAGAUCCUUCAAAAGUAAAUCAAAAGCUUCAAUCGUUUUCCCUUUAGCCAUUAAUGCCUCAUCCCAUACAAUUAAUUUUAUGUCUCUAAUUAAACAUACAAGUGAACUUUGGUUACUGAUAUUGCAACCAAUAUUUUCAUCAAUAUCAAUAGGGAUCUUAAAACGUGAAUGAGUUGUUCGCCCUCCAGGAAGAAUAGAAGCUGCAACACCAGAAGUUGAAGUUGCUAGUGCUACAAAUCCCUUAGAUCUUAUCGUAACCAACAAACUUCGAUAUAAGAAAGUUUUACCAGUUCCUCCUGGCCCGUCAAUAAAAAAAGCUCCCGAUUUGUUGGAAAAUAUUCUAUCAACAAUCAUAUUGUAUGCUCUUCGUUGAUCUGUAUUUAGUUUUUUUUUUCUAAUAACAAAUCUUCUUCGAAAACUCUUAGGUUUCUCUCAAAAUGAACUUCUUUUGCCUCUUUUGCAACUGCAGAAGCUCUAAUGUUUUCUGCAACAUGCUUGUACUCGUUAAUGUCGUGUCCUAUCGAGUGUAAUUUGUCAUUGAUCUGGUUCAGGACUCUAUGAUGAAUAUCUUUAAAUUUAUUAUUUGGCAAGCGUUUGAAGUUUUCGGACAUUGAGUCUUCAAAUUGUUCCCACAACUCUUUUGGAUUAGUAGGAGUACAAUAUACCAAUAGCGUAGCAAAUAAUCGUCUUAAACUAUAUGGCAAUUGAUAGCUUGCAGCUUCAAUCAUACAGUCAAGCAAACUAUUGUCAGAAUGUAAUAAUCCUCUUUUUUCAGCAGUCUCUCUAAAUAUAAUAUAACUUCUUCCAUUUACAGUACGAAGAUCUUCAUAUGAUGUUGGUCCUCUUACAUUCAUUAAUAAUCGCCUGAGAUAAUAUCUCUCACCUUCUGUUGGAUGACAUGUCACAACGCGUCCAAUAAUAGUACGUUGUUUUCGACGUGUCCACGUCUUGUCUGUAACUGACCAGACAAAGUAUUCUGGAAACUCUUUAUAUAGUAGCUUAAGUUCUAUAGCAUAAUCAUCUGUUUGGUUCAUGACAAAAAAUUCUGUCAACAUUGUUUUUCUAAUCAUAGGAUUUUUUUUUUUAAAUUGCAUUUAUACUCUCGGUGCUUUUAAAAGAAACAUAUUGUUGUCCUUCAAGGUGUAAUUGAAGAUGAUAAACACUUGGUGUCAUCUCACUAAUAGAAAAACCAAAUAAACGCCAUGUAGCUUCGGGUGGAGAUACCCAUCUAGCAGACUGAUAUUCUUUUAUUUUAUCAAUCUCUUUGUCUUUAUCAUUGUCAUAUACAGAAAAAGAAAUUUUAUCGUGCCCUUUACAUAUGUACUUGUAAAGAUACUUGACAACUUAAAUAUUUGAGCAUAUCUCGAUAUUCAUAUGACAUUUAAACUUUUCAAGUAAAAAAGGAUUAUAUGGUACCACCCAUGGAUUAUCGAGAAAUUGUUCUCUAAUUUUUAUUACUUCACUUGUAUGUCGUCUUUUAUAAAUUGGAUAAGAGUUUUUUCCUUUUGAUGUUCGAUCAGCAAAAUCUUUAGGGUAGUUAAAUUUACAAUAUCCAUUUUUCAUGCAUGAAUUUGCAGGAUUCAAAUGACCACAAUGAUCGUGCAUUAUAUGAUGUACAACAAGUGAGUAUAAGUAAGGCUAUUUAUCAGGAUCAGGUAAUUCAGCACAAACAACUCUGUCGUAAGACUCAAGUGUCAACAAUUUGUAUUCAUUAGCAAGAAUAAUAAUCAAAUGUUCAUGUGAAAGACCACAUUUCUGGAAUUCUACAGUGUACAUAAAAGCAGCAACCUUUUCAAAUAUAUUUCUUUUUAAUAUAUCAUUUUUUAGCUCUUCCAGUUUUGUUCUAAAUACUCGACUAACUAAGUCAGGUCUAUUUUAUGCCUCAUCAGUAGAUAACAAAUGUUCUUUUAUUUCUGGCCAUAAUGGGUUGUAUUUCAUCAUUAGAAAAAAGUCAGGUGUUCCAAAACGUUGUACCAAAGCAAUAGCAUCUAUAUAUCGUCGGCGCAUAUCUCUUGGUCUCCCUGUAAAUGUAACAGGAAGGAAAGUUUGUUUUCUGAUUCUAGAAGCAUCUCUUUCACCAUGUCUUAAGACAUCAAGAAUACCUUGCAAAACUUCAAUUCUAAACAAGUCUGGAUUGAAAGAGAAGAAGUCUAGUCGUUGUGUUUCAAGUUUUAUGAAUACAUCUACGACAUAUUUUUAGAAUAUCCUUCCAAUAUGUAAGAUUUCAUCAGUCUCAUCAUCUCUUAUUUGAAUUUUAUAACAAUAAUAUUCACGACAAAAGACAGUAUUUCUUUUUUUCCUUUGUUGUUCUAGUACCUGAGCUUCCAUAUCAAGAAAAUGUUUAAUUGAACACAUGUUUGCAACACUUGGUAAAUUUCCUGUUCACAGUAGACACGACAUCUAGUAGUAUUCUUUAGUUGUACUAUUUUCUUUAUACCACAGUGCCACCCAUCUUGAAUAUAUGAAAAUAAUAGUGGGUAUUGCAAGGGAUCAUAACAUCCAUAGUAACAGUUCACUAAUUGGCUUUUAUUGCUGUGAGUAUAAAUUCGAAUGUGAGGUGUGGAAAUAUGAACGCCUUCUUCCACCAUUAUUACUGCAACUUCAGAUGUAGUAGGUAAGUUAUAUACUCGUUGAUCUAAACCUGAGUCACAUUUGAGCGCAAUAUAAAAGUUCGAUAAUUCCGGAACAUCUGCCAAAGAUUUCAAGAAAACACUAUACAGAUUAUUUUGUAGUAUAUUCAUCAAUUUUCCGAUCAUUGACUCAUGUACUCUAGUUGAACAAGCAAUUUUGUUUGCUACCUCAUUUUCAUUGUCGUAGAAGUAUAACUGUCAAUUUCUUCCUUUCUCGUUCGCAGGAUAUAAAUCAUCUAUACAGUGAUACAUUUUUCCUUGAACUCUAUGUAUAGAUACCAUGAUUUCUCUUAGCUAAGUCUUUGUCAUAUUUUACCCCGAGCGAAGUAAAUGCAAACAUGUUAUUAUAUGUCUUAACAUAUGUUCGUAAAUGGUCAGACUCUUCAGUAGUACCCAAAAAUAAUUCUCGUAGCUCUAUAGGCAUUUCAUGUGAAGUAAGCUUGAUUGAACCUUUAUUGCAAUAGAAUCCAGGGGGUUCAUAUUGAAAUCUUUUUGCAGCACAAAAUUUACAGUUUGGGACAACUUUGAAAGCAACAUAUUCGGUUUGUGAACCAAUAACGUGCAGAGGGGCUCUUCUAUGUAGUCUAACUCCUGAAUAUUAUGGAAAUAAUUAGGAGUCAAUUUUAACUCCAAAGGAAGAUAAUGAAUACUAUUCUAACUUGAGAGUGAUACAAACCUCUAUUUGCUACAUUCUCUGAACCAACACCACAUCGGUCAUUAGAUGUACCUGAUGUGGAUCCUAAUAUAGACGCAAUUAUGAAUUACAUAAGUAAAUGGUUUACGACAAUAGAAAUUUUAUUAAAAUAAUAUGCUUCAUAUACUCGCCUGUUUCGAAGAAGGAAAAACGACCAACUAAACUUUUUCCUUUCACAGAAGCAGCAGGUAAAGUACUAACUUCACAUUUAGCAGCUAAUAAAGACGCGUGAAACAUAUUUAGUUUAAACUGACUGCAUUUAAACAGAAAGAGCGAAAGUUUAAUUUGCUAACUUUGAUUUGAAGUAAGAGAAAAAUCUCUUAUUAUGAGAGCACUCUCCCUUUGAAGCGUUGAAUUACUUAGAGAUGUUGAUUUGACUGAGUUAUACAGAGUACGACUUUCUGGAAGACGUUUUCUUGAAUCGAGUUCUUUCGUACGGCGGUUUAACAAUAAUGCUUUCUUUCUAUCCGCUGAUAUUUUCUUAUAUUUUUUAUGGCGAUUGAAUUUCAUUUUAGCACUUCUAUCUGCCAAGCAUGGACUUUUGUUCUUUUGUCCUGAACGUGAUAUAGGCACAUCUUUUUUAUCCCCCGACAUCUAUACUCAUCCAAUGUAAGCAGUAUUAAAAAAUAAACUACACCCUUUCUCCAAAAAGAUAUCAAGUGAAAGGCAAAAUUGAAUAAUUUGGUGGGGAACUGAUGCUUUCUAUUAGCUUACCUCGUAAAGCCGGAGUAGUUAGACAGAGUAAUCAGACGUUAAUUCCAGAAACCUGCAAACAGUGUGCAUCAGUCAUUAAAGCAAAAUAGGCAAACCACAUUUUUCGCUAAAAAUUCAUUGUCCGAAUAUUCAUAAAAGCCAUCAAGUUAAUGUCACUCCGCUCAGAGCUAAAAGUCAAUGAUCAUCUGAACUAUAAAAAUUACUCGUUUCAAUAACUUAAGAUGAGUUUGGUGGAAAUCACCAUGUAAAAGAAUUUCUCCAAUAUAAAGUAGUUAAAAAGGUUCAACAGGUAUUUAGUGCUAAACUUUUGCUCUGCUUUCCUUUAUUAUAUACUUAUUAAUUAUCACCGACUAUAAUAUUUUUCUUUAAAUUUCUUUCAGGAACAACUUAAAGAAAAAGUAAGAAGACUCAAGAGAAGACAAAACUUUGGAUGAUUUAAGGUGAGUGAGACUUGUCAAGGAUUUGUACCAACUAAACUUGUGGACAAACUUGAAGAAGCAAAACAAAUUACAGAGAGUUGGAAAUAGACCAAUAUAAAGUAGUAAAAUUAAAUAAUUAUGAAAAUUUGAAAAGCAAACUCAUUUGCUCUACAGGUAAGAUGGAACAUCAGUCCAAAUGCAUUGUAUCACUUAAUCAAAGGCUCCUACAAAUUAUUUUAUCAUUUUCCUUCUGCAAUUUUAGUCUUUCUUCAUAUUUUUAAUCUUCAUUUUUUUCUCCUCCAAGAUUUUAAUUUUUAGUAUUUCAACGUAAUUUCUUGCUAAUUUUUAGUUCAAAAUUUUAAGAAAUGUCUAAAUGCUUCACCUCAAAUUUGAUCAGUACACCUCGCUACAAAAGAAAAGCCUAAUUCGUUGAGUAAUUUUCUCAAACACCUACAGGCAGAGGCUAAAACAGAAACACAGAAGCUACCACAUAGAAAGAGAAGAGCAGGGAGAUAAUGGAAAUAGUAAAUUAGGGUAAAUUGAUCUCACCUGGAAGUGAUCAAAAGAGUAGCAGCAACAAAGCCGAAGAACAUAGCGAAACUAAACAACAAACAGAGUGUAAACUGAUUGAAAAUUGUAGGGGAAGAAAAGUAAUAUCUGAUAUUGCCCACCGUUUACCCAAAAGCAAAAACAGCAGACGACGUUCUCUCAGGAGUGUGAGUCAGCAGACCGAGUAAAAGCAAUUUGGGAAACCUGAUCAUUAGGAAUGAAACGGAAUUCCAAAAAGUUGCGUACUUGGGAGCUGAAUAUUUCUGAUUUUUUUCAUCAUUUGAAAUCCACAAGGAAGGCUAGAGAUAACUCUCCGUUAUAGAUUAAGAGAAUGUAAUGUAAAAUGACCAAGAUACCCACAUAGCACAAGCAAGCAUGUUGACGGAGACCAGCUUAACUCUCUCUUAUAGAAUAAGAGAAUAUAUUGAGAACCAUUUACAUUUGGUUUCCCUGAUGUGAGCUUGCCAACUUUGAAUAUAUCUAACUACUUGGACUUGUUAGAAUUCGUUUAAAGGGCUCAACAACUUGUGCAUGUUAGUUACACUGGUAGACUUAUGACAAAAAGUUCAAGUAUGUGCGAAAUUCCAAACUUAUCUUGAUAUUUACGAGGUUGGAAAAGAGAAUUUUAUGGCUCAUAUGUUGGCAGUUAUUGCUUGAUUUCCUUUCUGUGAACACUUUUAUUCUCCUUGAUGGGAAUCAUAAUAUGGAACAAGUAGAAACGAUAUUUUUUAACUAUUUCAAGGUAAUAAGUUGUUUCAUUAGCUCACGUCAUGACUUAUGUCUUUAGUCUAUGUUUUAGAUGGUUAUCUUGCAUUUUAACUAUAAUAGCCAGCUGAAAAUAAAGUUAUGCAUCUUUUUAAAAGUGUUAAUUAAGGUACUAAGUUGAAGUUAGCAAGCUAAUUGAUUUCACCCUUUAAGGUUUAAGCAUAGGUCGUUUUUCUGUUGGCACAGUAUUGGUUUUACAAAAUUGGAGAUUCUUUCUUUGCAGUUUUGUUAGUGUUCUCAGAAUUUAAGCAACAUGUAACUUAUUCCACCUGAUAGUCUCUUCAUUCGUUCAGAUGAUUGAGUUGGGCUUCAGUUGCUUUGUAGGCUAUGCUUUGGUACAUUGUACUGUGAUGAGGUUUCCAGACCUUACGGUGUGGGAUAAUACUGGGUAUAUAUGUUAUUAUUGUUGUUACUCUGAUGAGAUUCAAGAUCUUUUUGUAUUAAGUGGCUCAACUUCAAUAUACAUGUAGAGGUGGAUUUUUUAUUGAACGUGACGGGUUCAGCCUUUAAGAUUUCACCAUUUCAAGAGGUAGAUUCUACAUUUUAAUUUUGUGCUCCACAUAUUUUAAAAUUUCGCCAUUAGAACUCAAGAUAGUUCAUGCUCUACAAAUUAUAAUUCAUGCUUCUAAAAAUCACGAUUCUCUAUCUCGUUUGAGUUUUGCAAUUAUGAUUCAUCCCCACAAAUUUGUGUUUUUACAAAAAAAAUUAUUACUUGACACUUGCCUGCGAUUCAAUUAUCCUUGGAGCAACCACAUAAACCAUUGCUUAUGUUGACUCUGCACGAAGCUUAAGUGCACCAGUGCUUCAGAUAGCUUAGCAUUCCACUGUCUUGGUGCAUGUUUGAGACCAUACAAGGAUUUCAAGAGUCUGCAUAUUGGUCUACUCUCCCCCUGACUCUGAAAGCCUUGUGGCGGAGUCAUAUAUAUCUCAUCAUGCAAGUCACCCUAGAGGAAAGCAUUGUACACAUCCAUCUGAUGAAUGUACCAAUGCUCAGAUGCAGCAAAAUCAUGAACUGUUCUCACUGUAACCAUUUUAACCACUGGACUAAAUAUUUCCUGAUAAUCAACACCCUCUUGUUGACUAUACCCCUUGGCCACAAGCCUGGCCUUGAACUUCUCUACCUCUCCUGAGGCCUUGUACUUUACUUUGUAUAUCCACUUGCACCCAAGAGUAACNNNNNNNNNNNNNNNNNNNNNNNNNNNNNNNNNNNNNNNNNNNNNNNNNNNNNNNNNNNNNNNNNNNNNNNNNNNNNNNNNNNNNNNNNNNNNNNNNNNNNNNNNNNNNNNNNNNNNNNNNNNNNNNNNNNNNNNNNNNNNNNNNNNNNNNNNNNNNNNNNNNNNNNNNNNNNNNNNNNNNNNNNNNNNNNNNNNNNNNNNNNNNNNNNNNNNNNNNNNNNNNNNNNNNNNNNNNNNNNNNNNNNNNNNNNNNNNNNNNNNNNNNNNNNNNNNNNNNNNNNNNNNNNNNNNNNNNNNNNNNNNNNNNNNNNNNNNNNNNNNNNNNNNNNNNNNNNNNNNNNNNNNNNNNNNNNNNNNNNNNNNNNNNNNNNNNNNNNNNNNNNNNNNNNNNNNNNNNNNNNNNNNNNNNNNNNNNNNNNNNNNNNNNNNNNNNNNNNNNNNNNNNNNNNNNNNNNNNNNNNNNNNNNNNNNNNNNNNNNNNNNNNNNNNNNNNNNNNNNNNNNNNNNNNNNNNNNNNNNNNNNNNNNNNNNNNNNNNNNNNNNNNNNNNNNNNNNNNNNNNNNNNNNNNNNNNNNNNNNNNNNNNNNNNNNNNNNNNNNNNNNNNNNNNNNNNNNNNNNNNNNNNNNNNNNNNNNNNNNNNNNNNNNNNNNNNNNNNNNNNNNNNNNNNNNNNNNNNNNNNNNNNNNNNNNNNNNNNNNNNNNNNNNNNNNNNNNNNNNNNNNNNNNNNNNNNNNNNNNNNNNNNNNNNNNNNNNNNNNNNNNNNNNNNNNNNNNNNNNNNNNNNNNNNNNNNNNNNNNNNNNNNNNNNNNNNNNNNNNNNNNNNNNNNNNNNNNNNNNNNNNNNNNNNNNNNNNNNNNNNNNNNNNNNNNNNNNUUUGCCAUCAGGCAAGGAGACCACAUCCCAAGUAUGGUUAGAUUCUAAAGCAGGAAUCUCAGCCUACAUAGCAUCCACCCACCUAGGAUCUUUAACAGCUUCCUCAAAGGAGGUAGGUUCAACUAUUGUGGAGAAGGCAGCUAGAUAGGCCUGAUAUUUAGGAGAGAGUCCAUCAUAUGACACAUAGUUGAUAAUAGAGUAAGGCACAUACUUGUGUCCUGGCAAAGACACAAAGUCUUUCAUCCAAAUAAGAGCUUGUUUGGUCCUUAAUAAUCUCCUCAGACCAGUGAAUCUCUUAUCCUUAGAAGGUAAGGAAGCUGGCACCACUUCUGACAGUGAGUGAUGUUGUAGAGAUAAGUAUUGUCUUGAUUUGCUAGCUGCAUGGUCAGAAAUGGUUGAAGAAUGAGGUAAGGUGAGUUCUGCAUCAAAAAUAGAUGAUUCAGGGGGCAAGAACACAGGUGGUACAGAUGCUGGAGAGUCCUUGAAAGGGAAAACAACUUCCCCGAAGGAAACAUCUUUGUUAAUGAGAAUGAAAGGAGUGUCCAAAUCUAACAGGAUAUAUCCCUUUUGAGUAUCGGAAACCUCAUAUAGAUAGUAGGCUUAGCUCUGCGAAGAAGUUUGUCUGUUUCCUGAACAUGUUUGGCAUAACAUAUACAGCUAAUUAAGAACUCUCAGAUGUUCCAAAGUGGGUGCUCUACCAUACAACAAUUCAAAGGGAGACAGGCCAUUGAGUACAGAAGAUGGCAUUCUAUUAAUAAUAUAUAUUGCUGCAAGAACACAAUGACCACAACACUUAAUAGAAAUAUUGGCCCGAAACCUUAAGGCUCUAGUUACUUACAGGAUAUGCUUGUGUUUCCUUUGAGCAACUCCAUUUUGCUGAGAAGUGUAAGCACAUGUCUUCUGAUGGACAAUGCCAUAUUUCUGGAAUAAGGUAUUGCAUACAAAAUUGACAAAUUCAGACUCAUUGUCAGUUCUGACUGCCUUCAAGGUUUUGUUAAAUUGAGUUUGAACAAACACAAUAAAUUGUGCAAGUACAACACAUACAUCAAAUUUUAUUUUCAGAAGAAAUAACCAAUUCAUUCUAGUAAAUCAUCAACAACAGUCAAGAAAUAUCUAUUUCCAUCAAAAGUUGCAUAUUUAUAAGGACCCCAAACAUCCACAUGAAUCAGAUCAAAUGCAUCAGUGCUCUUAAUACAACUAGUAGGGAAUGACAACCUGGUUUGUUUAGCACAUGGCAUAUAGUGCAUUUAUUUAUAGUGUCAGUAAUACUUGCUAGUUUAGCAAGAAAUAGUUUUCUGAGUACCAUACAAGAGACAUGACCUAGUCUUUUAUGCCACAAAGCAAUAUCAGUAUUUCUUGACUUUAUUCCAGCUGCAACUAAAGCGACUGCAGUAAGCUUCUUGGACCCAUGUUUCUGCAGGAAAUAUAGCCCAUCUCUUGCGCUACCAAUCUCCCUCACCUUGCCACUGAAGAGAUCUUGAAAUAUACAUAAAUCAGGAUAAAAGGAAGUAAAGCAUCUUAGAUCUCUUGUCACUUUAGAGACAGACAAUAAGUUGAAUCUGAAUUGAGGUACAUAGAGCACUUCUUUAAUAGUGCUUCUAUCUGAAAUAUGACUAUCUCCAAUCUGAGUAACUUGAGUGAUAUCUCCAUGAGGUAGUAGAACUUUUUUACACUUAGAAGGUAUGAUUAGAGAGGUUUUGGUCAGUAAAUUAACAUCUGACACAAUAUGGUUGGUGGCACCUAUAUCAAUUAUCCAUCUUUUGAGUUAGUGGAUGCUAAUAAGGUAGUAUCAAUACCUGCUGCAUUUGCUUGAGUAGGAGGAGUUGGGCUAUUAUUCAAAAUCUGCAUUAUUUGAUCAUAUUGUUCCUUGGUGAAGGGAAAACCACCUCCUUGUGAAGUAGUACUUGCUGAUCCCUAAGGCUGUGAGAAGGAAGAACCUACUUGAGUUUGAGUGCCAGAGUUUCCUUGACCUUGUAAUCCUUUAGUAGUUUGGCUCACAUACUGAUGGUCAUGAUGCAUGGACAUGGAUUACAUUAGCAUUGGUGUCAUUGACAUGUUCUGAGAGACAUGAUUUGUGUGCAAAGGCACAUCAUGACUAGGUUCUAUUAUAGCAUUGUAUGUUCCAGCUCCCAUUUCCUUGUUAAACUUAUAGUCUUGUGGAUAUCCUAUGAUUUUGUAGUAGUUUUCCUUACUGUGGCCUUUCAUUUUAUAGAACUCACACUAAAUAUUGUAAUUCUUCCUAAACUUUGGAUUGAAAUUAGGCUUAGCACUAUACAAAGCAGUAGACUGAUAGGCAUUUGUGUUUACAUUAGGAGCAGAUCCUAACACUCCAGCAGUGGUUUCUACAGCUCUUUGACUUUCAUCACUCAUGGGCAUAGCAUAAGAUUGAUUCACCGUAGGUAGGGGUUUCAUCAUACGAAUUUGACUACGAGCUUAAGAGUAAGAGUCAUUUAAGCCCAUUAGAAAUUGGUACACCUUCUGUUUUCGUAGAUGCACAAUAAAUUCUUUUGUCUUAACAUAAUCACAGCCAGGAGUAGGUACUACAGAUUAAGUCUCAUCUUUGAGCUUCGAUUAGUAAACAGAGAUAGAUGCAGUACCUUGAUUUAAGGUGGCAAUUUUCCUUGUGCAAAUUGUAGCAAUGUGUAUCAUUCACCUUAUCAAAGUGUUCUUGAAGAUCUAUCCACACUACAUGUGCACUAGUAGCGUAAGCAAUGCCACUAAUUAAGGUCGGGGCCAUUGAUCAUCAACCAUGACAACACAAUUGCAUUGCACCUCUCCCAUGUAUACCAGUACUUCUCACGAAACCGCUCCUUAGGCCACCUGUCAUCAACAAUCCUAAGCUUAUUACGGCCAAGUAAGGCGAUUCACAUAGAUCGAUGCCAUAAGGAGUCAUUGUUAGUACCGGUUAACUGAAACAAGAUCAAGGAGAUUCCACUUGUAUCGGUGGGAGCUAAGUACAGAGGAUGAGUGACUGCUAAUGUCACUCUUUACUCAAAUUUAUCAUCUGACGAUGCAUGUGAAGCAUUUUCAGUAGUAACAAUUGUGUUCUCUCAACAAAUCAUCAACUACCAUUGUUGAGCAAUUUCAAGUUUUUUUUAAAAAAAUAGAUUUUGAACCAAAAAAAUUUGUUCCAGAAAUUAGACUGAGAAGAAGUUGAUAAUCAAUAUCUGAGCUACAAUUCCGAGCUCGGAGCUCUGAUACCAUGCUGAAGUUUGGUGAUUAAUCACCUGUAGAAACCCUAGCUACGAGGGAGAAGAGAAAGAGAAAAGGAAGAAGUUAUUUGAGGAAGAGAAAUGAAUAAAACAGUGAAAAAAUUGUAUUUACCACUUAUUGUGCAUCUCUUACACUUACACACAUAUAUACACACGUGUGACAAACCACUAUUGUAACAAACUAAGUACCUCAUUAACCUCACUAACUUCCUAACUAAUCAACCACACAUAAAUAAGCUAAACUACUCUCAUAAUCAAGUCACUCCUUUAUCCUCAACAAAUGUUGGCGGUUAUUGCUUGAUUUCCUUUCUUUGAACCCUUUUGUUCGCCUUGACAGGAAUCCUAAUNNNNNNNNNNNNNNNNNNNNNNNNNGGAUAGUAUGAAGUAUACAAUUUACUCUCAAGAACCAGUAGAAGAAUAAUAUAGUAAUUCUUUCUGUUCUUAUAGCUCUGGAUCACCCUAGGAUAUGGUUCAACUGUCAAAUCCUAAUUGGCGACCAACUAUGUGUUCAUGUCAAAUAUAAUCGACCAUUGAAUGACCUAAAAAACUCUUUUCUUCUUUCAUUCAUUGCCAUGGCCAAGGUCUUAGUUUGGUCGUUUAUAAUUCAUGACAACAUGGAGCUUAAACUCAUUACCAAGAGUUGACAGAUUCCAUCUUGAUCAAUUACUAAUUCUACAAGCAUUUAAUCAUACCCAAUAUCCUUUCAACUAUCGCCCUAGGAUCAUAGGUGACUGGUAUCAAAGCACAAUAAAUAACUUGUCAAUUACUAUGACGAUAUCAGAUCAAAGAAAAUAUUUACAUCACAUUCUUCAAGAGAAUAUCCUAUUGACAGUUAUGGUAAUUCUAAUCAUUAGGAAUUAUCCAAUGAGUCGGUUCAAUGAUCAUAUCUCUAUAUGUAUCAUCUAUCUAUGUGAUUUAGUUAAUGAGAUCAACUAAUCUUUAUCCAAUAAAGACGAUCACAUAAAUAUUGAUCUAACCGGAUUACUAAUGUCCAAAUUAAUAAUCCUACGAUUAAGAACAAAUUUAGAUUAAAUUAUAAGAGACUUUGUUCUCAUUAUCAUGAUCUUUAUCACGAUGACAAAUCUCAAAAUUUAAUCAAGGACCUUAUCAAAUGAAUCAAACAAUUGAUAAUAACUAUGAUAAAAGAAUGUCAUAUAUUUUUAUAUCAAAUAACAUUCACAAAAAUAUGUUCAAAUCAUCAAAUAUGAGAAUGGAUCUAGGGCAAAUCUACUAUAUCCCUAACCGGAACAAGUAGCAAACGAUAAUUUUUUUAACUAUUUCAAGGUAAUAAGUUGUUCCAUUAGCUCACGUGACUUAUGUCUUUAGUCAAUGUUUUAGAUGGUUAUCUUGCAUUUAACUAUAACAGCCAGCUGAAUAAGUUAUGCAUCUUUUUUUUAAAAAAAACUAAGGUACUAAGCUAAAUUAGCAAGCUAAUUGAUUUCACCCUUUAAGGUUUAAGCAUUGGUCGUUUUUCUGUUGGCACAGUAUUGGUUUCCCAAAAUUAGAGGUUGUUUCUGUGCAGUUUUGUUAGUGUUCUCAGAAUUUAAGCAACAUGUAACUUAUUCCACCUGAUAGUCUCUUCAUUCGUUCAGAUGAUUGAGUUGAACUUCAGUUGCUUUGUAGGCUAUGCUUUGGUACAUUGUACUCUGAUGAGGUUUCCAGACCUUACGGUGUGGAAUAAUAUUGGGUAUAUAUAUUGUUAUUGUUGUUACUCUGAUGAGGUUCAAGAUCUUUUUGUAUUAAGUGGCUCAACUUCAAUAUGCAUGCAGAGGUAGAUUUUAUAUUGAAUGUGACGGGUUCAGCCUUUAAGAUUUCACCGUUUCAAGAGGCAGAUUCUAAAUUUUAAUUUUAUGCUCCACAUAUUUUGAAAUUUCGCCAUUAGAACUCAAGAUAGUUCAUGCUCUACAAAUUAUAAUUCAUGCUUCUAAAAAUCACGAUUCUCUAUCUCGUUUGAGUUUUGCAAUUGUGAUUCAUCCCCACAAAUUUGUGUUUUUAAAAAUUUUUUUAUACCUGCCACUUGCCGACGAUUCAAUUAUCCUAGGACCAACCACAUAAACCAUUUUGAUCAAAGAAAUAAAAGGGGCCAUGCCAAUUUCAAUGGGGGUUUACAUAGUCUAGGUUGUCGCCAAAAUAAUAGCCGAAAAAUUAUAUUUUUUGUGUAUUGAUGUAGAAUAUACAUACGUUUGUUAUUCAGUGUAUAUUUGGUUAGCAGUUGUAAUUAUUUUGAUGGAGUGACUAAACGUGUUAAAAGCCCUAUUUAAUCAGUACAAAGAGCUAAUUGAGUUCUACACAGAAGUUGGGUUUAAACUUUAAACAAUGUAAUCUAAGUCCUUUUUCUCAAAGCUAAAUAGUACGUAUUAUUUUGGAGUGGCUAUUUGGAAAACAGAAGGGUGAACACCAUUCAACUCUACAGUCUACAGUCUACUUUAAUCAUCACAAAGUACUUAAAAUAGGGAAAGAGAGAAGCGAACGACAUAGUUUUCAGUAUUAUGAAAUAAGACGGCGUCGUUUGGUGAAAAAGGGAUUAGUCAGAUUAACGAAAUUAACAACCAUUUUAAAAAGGCGAAGCAGCGGUGACGUGGAUGGUUGAGAUCUUUUGCUUUAAAAUAUUUAAACCCAACGAAUUCUGGUAAAUUCCCAUUCUCCUAUUGCAGCUUUCGUCUUCCCUCCCAUUUUCUCAAAAAUGUCGCAACUGAAUCCAACUAUCUUCAAAUCCAUAGUCCCAUCUCGCUACAUUACCUUCACAAUCCCAAACCCAUUGCUUCAUCUCAAUCACUUCCAUACUCAAGAACUCCGCAUUUCAAUUCUUGAUUCACCUCUCCCUUCAAAUCCGACUCAAAUCGCAGCAAUGUUAGUUCCAAUUAACCGCGAAUCAGACUGGAUUUUUUCUACAGAACAAGGUCAUCUUCAAAUCCUCCUCACUUUCUCUCAUCUCUCUCGCCUCAUAAUCAUCGGCAAUUCACCGAAUUCCCCACACCCCACUUCGUAUAAUCCCACAUUGCACUCCAAUUGUACCGCUGAUUCAUCUGUUCUUGAAGAAAAAUUGUUGCCUCUGUUGAUUGAGUUGACACCCACAUCGGCAUUUCGUCGAACAGGUGAUGGGCUACCUGAAAUACCUGAAAUUCCGUUCUUGAGCUAUGAAGAUGGGGUAAUUCGGAGUCUGGUAUUGGAAAGAUGUGUUGGACAAUGUGUUGGAGAAAUGCUGGUAGAAGAUGUGGAGUUGGAAUUGGAAAAUGGGGAUAGAGAGUUUAGGAGGAGACUGAGAUUCAAGAGAAUGCCAAAUUUGGUACAAACUCAGAUAAGAAUCCGUCCCAAGAAAGUGGAUUUUGUUGAUAUGGAAGGCGUUGAAUUUGAGGUGGUUGAUGAUGGGGAUCUAGUUCAUCCUUAUUUGACUCCAAUGGUGGCUGGUCUUUCAGUAAUCGCUUCAUAUUUGGACGAGCAAAUUGGAAAAGGGAUAAAGCCAAAAGCCUUGUGUUUGGGUGUUGGUGGAGGGGCGCUUCUUGGUUUUUUGAGUUCCCACUUAGGUUUUCUAGUCUUUGGUGUUGAGAUUGAUCAUAUUAUUUUGGAGGUUGCAAGGAGAUUUUUCGGGUUGGUACAUGGUGACUUGGUCCAUGUCUGUGUUGGAGAUGCUAUAGAAAUGAUUGAGAAAUUCGCGACUCAAGUAGAUAAUGAUAGUUUUCGUGGUUAUUGUGAUUUCACUGGGAAUGAUUGUUUGAAUAAAUUUCAUGGUAAGUUUGAUGUGAUCAUGGUUGAUUUAGACUCGAGCAAUGCUAGUAUGGGUACGAGUGCUCCUCCUUUAGAUUUCUUGCAAAAGUCAGUGUUAUUGGCCGCGAGGACAUUGCUUAGAAAAGAUGGUGUUGUUAUCAUAAAUGUGAUUCCUUCAGACCAGUCGUCUUACAAGUCAGUCAUUGUUGAAUUUCAAGAAGUUUUUGCAGGGUUGUAUGAGAUAGAUGUUGGGAAUGGAGAGAACUUUGUUCUAAUUGCCUCUACCUCAGAAACUGGACAUGUUUCCUGUCAUCAUCAAAGUAAAUUUCUAAGUAAGUUGAAACAAGUAGCAGGAUCUUAUGUUGACUCUAUAAGAAUGAUCUGAAGGCUUCUUAGUAGCUAAGCUCUUACAGAUAACUGAGUGAAAGUGUGCAGAAAGGAUGAGUCAUAGGACAAAGAUGAAUCUAAUAUUUUUAGCCGAUAUAGGGAUCCAAUUGUAUAUAGUUCAUUUGUUGGUAUCUUGGAGGAUUACAAGCAUGAUUCUUGAUUUCCAAUUGGUUGUUUUUGCAUUAAUUACUACUUCUUUAAUCUUUGAAAUUUGGAGUCAACAGUUAACAAAUCCUCCUCAUAAGUAGAGAAAGCCGCCCACAGCUCUCUAUUUGUCGUUUUCUUAGGAGUUGUUGAUGGUAUUGGAACAAUUGAUAUCAUAUAAAAUCUCAUAAAGACAAUAGCGUUUGGUUGCUUUUUUGGCAUAAGCAAAAGUAAUCAAGCUUUUGGUUGGCAGUAUUAAAUAGUACCUCCAUCAAGAUAUGUGAAAAUUUAUCUACUCCAUUAUUUAUAAGGAUAACAUGUGAAAUAAGAUUACGUUAAACUAUUUAAAGAUAAAAAAUGUCCUUUAAAGUAAGUAAUUCGUGUAUAACAAUCCUUCACUCGUAAUAAGUGCAUAACAAUCCUUUCAUUGCUACUUCUUGCAUAAACAAUCAUUGCAUUAUAAUCUCCGCAUAAUUAGUAUGCGAACCAGAAAAAAUCCUUCGUAUUUCUCCCUAACAUAAUAAAAUUAGGAAUGGCAAGUGGAGCGGGGCGAGGCAGGGCGGGUUCUGCCUUAACCCGCAAAAUUUCAACCCGCCCCGCCCUGCUCCGCAUAGCAUUUUCACCCGCGUUCCCCCGCCCCACCCCGCCCCACUUCACUAAGUUUUUCAGUACUUUUUUUCUUCAAAUUGUCUUAUUUUUAGAAACUUUCAAUACACUAGUUGGAGCAUCUUCAUAUUAUCUCAAGGCCCAUUCUUGUGAUAUUUUCGAUAAUGUGAUAAUUAGAAAACUAGAAAAAUAAAUUGUGAUAUUCACACGGAUAUUAUAUGAGUAUAGCUAAGAUAAGAACCAAUUCAUGCUCAAAUUGUUAAAUCAAAAUUUACUUUACAGAUAAUGAAAAUAAUCAGUUGUACCACAAGAUCAAUAUAGAACAUUGGUAAAGAAAAGAAUCAAAUGAAACUCCCAAAAGAGUAAGAAAAAGGAAUUUAAUGCCCAUAACUAAAAAAUGCAAAACAGAUUAACAUAACUGGGUUUUUCAAUAACAGUAAUCCUAUAUAUAUAGACCUUCUCCAUAACAUGAAAAGCUUCAGAGAUGCAUUUUUAUGGUUGACGAAGAGCACUCUCAACUCUCAAGUCUCACGAUAUGGAGAAUAGAGGAAAAUAUUAUUAUUUUUAAAUUUUGAGAGGGUCAAAUAAAAAAGUCAAAGUAGUUUAUAUAUAGGAGUAGUGAAGUUCCUCCAAUGUUUAAUGUCAUUUUUGAACAUUUCGAGCUUUAUACAAUAAUCAAAGGUAUUUAGAUUGAAGCAUGAAAAAUAAAUAAAAAUAUUUGGAAAUUAAAGACAACACAGUAUAAUGAUCCACAUGAAUAUCUUUUAAAAAUGGUAUAAGCAACAUAUUGAAAAGCUUGAAAACGAGAUUCAUGCGAGUAACUAAAUAUACAGUAGGAAAAAAUUGACCCGCAACCCGCAAAAAUUUCUUUUCAGAAAAAUUAACCCGCCCCGUCCCGCACCGCACCUGCACAUGCCUAAACCCACACCGUCACGCAUAAGCUCAAACCCGUACCGCCCCGCACUCACAACGCACCAUUACCAUCCCUAAAUAAAAUCCAAAUUGGAGUUGGUACAAUAUGAAAGCAGGACCCUAGCCUUCAGGGUGGUUGUUGGCUCAUUGGUUAAUUUAUUAGGUAAAGAAAGCUCUUCUUCAUUCUUUCCUCCACCAACGUGCAUAUGGGCAUAAUCGACGGUGAAAAUAGAAAUUUUUCUAAGAGCGUUCAAGAUUUAAUAUUAGUGGCGGAUCCAAAAUUUCAAAGUUAUGGAUGUCUACCGGUAAAAAUAUCAGAAGAAAAGGAAAAAUAAAUUUAGUGAUGGGUGCUUAUUCAAUACUUAUUUAAUUUUUUUAUAAUUACGUAUGUAAAUUUAUUAAGUUUGGCACUAUUUAAUAUAUAUGUAUAAAAGGUAAUACUAUUUGAUUUAUACAAAGCAAAAUUUUUGGGGAUACGCCCACCCUUCAUCGCGUUGAAAUAUGAUUUUUUGUUCUUCGACUGAAAUAUACAUGACUCUUCCAGUGGGCUACUCCUGAUUACAAGUUGAUUAAUAGCAACUGUUCAUAAAAUCUUUACCUGUAUAUUUUUAUUUUAUGUAACAAGGAAUGUAAGUGGACACAGGCAAUCCGCCCCUACCUGACGUAUUGAUCCUGAUGUGUAACAUGUUAAUAACCACUAAUUAAUACUACCCUCCAUUAACAAUUCUUAAUUUUACUUAAACAAAAAGACAAUAUAGAGAAGCAAGCAUGAUAAGUUGAAAGAAAAGUCUCUCUUUCCACAUAUAUACAAUAUUAAUCUCGUAGCAUUUCCAUUAAUUAAUAGAUAAAACUAUAAUUAAUCUUUUGCGUGGUACCAUGUUUGAAACCCAUUCAAGGAAGACGGAGGCGACAAAGGCUCGUCAUAUUCCACUAUGCAUAUUGAUCAAAACCAAAUAGAAAGAUUAAUUAAUCAUAUUAAACAAUAAUUAUCCGACUAUAUUCUCCAAGAUUUUUAUUGGUUCUAACGUUAUUAAGAGGAAGGCAAAGGGAGAAAUUAACCAUCAUCUAAUUAAAUUAUCUCAUUGGAAUACAUGUCUAAGAUUCAUCCAGCAGCAGAUCAUCAUAGAAAGCGAAGCAAACCUUGUAGACACGACGAUCAUGAACAGAGACAGAAUCAGAAUUUGAAGCUUAUAGGUUCGAAAUUUUAGUCCUCUUGCAUUAUCGAAUAAAUAACUUGUUCAUAUUACAUGAAUUUCUUUGAAUCAAAAUUACUGGUUCGGCCAAACCUACUUCCUGCACUCUUAACUCUGUCCCUGAUCAUGAAAUGAUUAUUCAUGUGUUCUUCCUCCAGCUCCUGCAAGUCGCUUAAUAAGUAGGCCGCCACCGGCUGCUGCCUGCGCGGCGUCUAUCUUCACAGUGUGGAAGAGAUCGAGUAUGAGUUUCCAAGGGACAGAUGGAUUCACGGUGUUUGAUAAACUAGGACAAUUAGUUUUCCGGGUAGACAACUACACCAGAAGAAAGAAUCGUUCCAUUGCUGCUGGCAAAGGAAGAUCUGGUGUUGGUGGACUUGUACUCAUGGAUGCAAAUGGUAAACCUCUCUUAACAUUGAGACCUCAGGUAUUAAUUACAUGUACAUAUGCUUUAAUUUUUUUAUAUCUUCACGAACUCGGCUUCUUAGAUUUAAGGUGAUUUGUGUAUCUACUCCAAUGAUUUUAUUAUUUCCUACCAUUUUGAAGAGGAUUCUGGCAUGCUAUGCACCUCUUCAGGAAUGAAAAGGUCCAUUUACAGGUCAGGGCAUAAAGGCCUAUAUGAGAUCCUAACGACAUCAUGGCAUGCUCAAUUAUCUCUUAAAUUAGCUAUAUUAGGCUCUUUAUUAAUCAUUGUUGUAGCGCAUCAGAUAGCAUAGAUAUCAUUAUGGGAGAAAUUCAUCGUUAAAAUGAUAACUAAUACAACAAGAAUAGAAACUAUUAAUUCUUUUUCCAAAUUGAAAUCCUUAAAAAAGUCUAUGGGGAUCAUAUGGAUGUUUGUCCCUAUUUUGACUCUAGCAUUAGGAAUCACAAUAGGUGAAUUUGAUUUUGACCAUUAUUUUCAUAUCCGUAAACUGUAAUAGUGUGAAACGAAAGCCCAACUCCAAGUUGAUCAAGAAUAGUGACAUUGGGUUUCUCGACCCUUUGACUUAGGAUUAGUCAGUUCUUCGAUCAUCUCAAUAUUUCUUCUAUUAACUAAUUACAAAUUACAUAAUCAUACUUAAUCCCAAAAAUUUUACAGAUGAGGAGCAUGCAAUUACAAUACGAAUGGAAAGUAUAUAGCGGAGGGGAAGAAGAUGAAAACAAUGGAAACCACUCUCCUCCUUUGUUCGUAAUGAGAAAACCUCCAUUAUCACUGCUUAUGAUGAUGCGAACAACUGCGACAAACUCAUGCCAGGCUCAAGUCUUUACUGCUGAUGGAGAGAAUGAUAAUGUCAGUCGUCCCGAUUACAGGGUAGAGGGUUCAUUCCGUAGGCGAAAUUGCAACAUAACCAAUUCUACUGGUCAUAUUGUAGCCAAUAUAUCAAGAAAAGUAGCCAACGCUACUACUCGCACUACCGUUUUGAUUAGCGACGACGUUUUUAGCUUGGUGGUACAACCAGGCUUUGAACCUCACAUUUUUAUGGCUUUUGUUAUUAUCUUGGAUCGCAUGUAUCCUAACUCAUAUGCUCCCCUUGUUUGUUCUUAAUUAGUAAUUGAAUUUCAUGUCUAAUAUUUCAAGGGGUUUUGUAAAGAAAAGAAUUUACUGUUAAUGAGCUUCUUCAAAUACAAUGUAAUUUUUGUGUUCGCUUUAUUCUUGCCUCUAAAACUUAUCUUGGUUAGUGAAUUUUGGAAAAAGCCUCCUUAAGGAUGGGUUACGUUAGUCAAUCUGGUUUGUUGACAAAACCGUUGUACUCCCCUCUGCCCCAGUUUAUAUGGCCGAGCUCGGAUUUCGGACGUCAAAUUUCUUAAUUUUAAAUGUGAAUUCGAACAUAGAAUCUUUAAAUUUUUUUAAACAAAAUUUAUAUAUUUGAAAACUACAUAAAAAAUACUAUAAGUCACAAUAAUUAAUAUUCAAAAUAUCUAAAAAGCAUAUGAAAAAAUUAGGGUCAAAGAAAAACUCGAUUGACUCUCGAAAUCCACACUCCGCCACAAAAAUUGGGACGGAAGGAGUAGGAUUUUUUUUGCUUUUUUUACAUGGAGGAGGGCAGGGGAAGAGAAUGCCUAAAUUACUGAUGGGAUUUGAAUCUUCCACCUCAACUGUGGAAGGCAAGAAGCUCACCAAGUGAGCUAGCCUUCAACCCCAACCACCGUAGGAUUUCCGAGCCUUAUCCCAUAGAAUUUUUUUUCGUUCAAACUGGAUGCUAUAGAGUACAUGAUAUGUCCAUCUGUGGUGAUGAUGGUCUGAGAGAGUUUUCCUCUCCUGGAAAAAGUGGCAGCAUUUUCUAUCUUUCUCGUGAUGAUAAUUGAUAAAUCGGAUAAGGGCCAAAUAUACUCCUCUACUAUGGGAAAAGAAUUAAGUUUAUCCUCCGUUAUACUUUCUGUUUAAAAACACCCUUCUUGUUAUACAAUUAGGUCAAAUAUACUCCUCGUCCGUUAAGGUUAUCCAAGGUGGAUGUCCAAUCCCACGUGACACUGACAUUUUGGCUACGUGGCAUGCCACCUCACUCCCCUAAACCCAUCUUACCCCUCUCUUUUACUUCUUCUUCCUCCAAUAACACCUUCUACCCCUCGACCACACUACUACCAUUAACACUGAGUCCAAAACCUAAAUAGUAACUACUAAUAUAUCUUGAAAAUUAAAAUUUGAAAAUAUUCGUGUAUGAUAUAUUUUUUCUAUAUUGUUAAGCAACCCAUCUUAAUUUUCAACACUACUAUUAUAUAUUAUUUUUAUAAUAUAUUCGUCUAUGAUAUAUUUUUUCUAACUUUAAUUUUCAAGAUAUAUUAGUAGCAGUAGCGUUAUUACCUACUAAUUUUCACAUCUUCGUCUUUUUUUAUUUUCUUAAAAAUAUGUUUUGAUUGUGUAUGAAAAUUAAGAAAUAUAAGAAUUUAACACCUGCUAAAAGUAUUACUAUAAAGCUUUUGUGAUCUUAACACACCGUAAUGUUUUGAUUGUUAUAAGGUAAAUUGAAAAAAUUAAAUCUAAAAAGUUUCUAUAAUAUAAAAUGUGUCAUUUUUAUCAAAAAAAUAAAAUUUAAAUAGAACGUCUAUAAAAUUUAAAUGAAAGGACAGAAAACCGAAAAUUUGUAAAAGGGAAAAAUACAGAAAAAUUGUGAGGAAAAGAAAGACGGGAAAAAUGGUUCAAUUUCCAUUUAACUUGUUUAGAAAAGUUGUGACCCACUUAAUUACAUUUGGUACUAAUUAAAAUAUAACGUGUUCACACACGGAAACAAUUUUCAAUCUCAACUUGGUUUUUUAUUUCAAAAUUAUGGUGAGCAUAUGUUGUUGGUGACACUAGUUGGGGAGGAGUAGGAGUUUCUAGUGGUAGAAGAAGAAGUAAGAGAGAGGGGUAAGAUGGGUUUAGGGGAGUGAGGUGGCAUGCCACGUGGCCAAAAUGUCAGUGCCACGUGGGAUUGGGCAUCCACCUUGGACAAUCUUAACGGAUGAAGGGUAUAUUUGACCUAAUUGUAUAACAGUAAGGGUAUUUUUAGAUAGAAAGUAUAACGGAUGAUAAACUUGAUCCUUUUCUCAUAGUAGAAGGAUAUAUUUGACCCUUAUCCGUUGAUAAAUUUGUGAUCAAGACUUUAAAGAAGCUAGAACCCAAGGUUUGGGUAAAACAAAAGUUUACCUACUAAACUCUUCUAGCUAGCAUUUGCUCACUUGUUAUGUUAACAUGUUCAUAUGACCAGUGAACUUCAUACUGAAUUAAAUUCAGCAAGAGAUAGGUCUUCUGUUGCAUUUUGGAAUAAGAAAUGGAACUAUUAUCUCGAGUUGAGGUGAUGUUUUAGCUUAAAUGUACUAAUUUUCCCACUCCCUUAGUAGUACAACCAAUUCAUUUUUACCUUAGUUGUAGUACUAAUAGAUACAAAGGUGAAAGCAUCAUAAGAAUAUAUGCAGUCACUGCUCACAACCUGUUUGAACAGCGACACUGCAACUCCAAUUCAUGCACUUCUUUCACAAAAUGCUGCAGCAGACAGGAGGUCACUACGUAUAGUUAUAUACACCCAGUGCAUUCCGACAAUGUGUGAUCUGGGGAGGGUAGUGUGUACGCAAACCUUACCCCUACCUUGUGGAGGUAAAGAGGCGAUUUGAAAUAGACACUCAGCUCAAGAAAAGCAUUCAUCAGCAGGUUUGAAAAGGAAAAACAAUUGUGAAGAAGCUAUGUUGAGAUUAAUGAAGAUAAAGAACAAUAACAACGGCAAAAUAACAAAGCAAUAAGAUAACCGAAGCAAGGGAAACAGCCGGUAGUAAUAAAAAAAUAAUUUGCAAUAUGAUUUGCAAUGAUUCAGAGUUGUAAUCUUCGAUCGAUAAAAGAAAGCUUCUUAUUUCUCUUAGUUAACUCAUAAUUGUUUGAAGCUCAUUGCAGUAUUCUCUCCAGAUAUUAAAACAACCCUAAAAUAUUUGCUUUCUUCUGAUUUAUGUAUGCUUUUUUGCAUCAUGCAACAGUCAUUGAGUUCUUAUUCCUAAGGUGGUUGCUCAGAGAUCCAUUAUUUGCCCCUUCUAAUUAGUAAUUCCUCUGUUAAACAAUUGAUUGGUUGUAAAAUUGCAAUUAACGAAAACAAACAACAAAAAAAUAACAAGUACAGAACUGAGAAUGAUAUUACUACCAAAGACAGAAAUAAGAGGCUGAAAAAAGAACUUUAACCCGGGGCUUAGGUCUAGUGGUAAGUGUCCGUUUGUUGUGAUAUUUGGAUUAGGCGCAUGUCAUGGGUUCGAAAACUAUCACAACCUGGAAAUUAGGUAGAGAAGUGUAAAGGGACGAGCUCAUUACCUACCGACUUUCGAAGCGUGCGCCACUAGAGGUUUCUCAUUUAUUAAACGGAAAAGGGCCAAAAAUGACCUUAACAUAUUAGAAAUGGCUCAAAAUUGCCCUCUUCCACCUAUUGGUUCAAAUUUGCCCUUAAUGUUACUUUUAGGCUCAAAAAUAUCCCUAUCUUAACGGAAAGAUGACAUGGAAUUGAUGGGCAUUUUAAUUGAACUUGUGGCAUUUAUUUAGGGGUCCACAUAGAUUUUUUCUAACCCAACCUAAAAGAUCCGACCCAUCUUUUAAUAAUCCAUCCUUUUAAGAUAAUCAAAACCACAUCUUGGCUGCAACAAAACAAUGAGCAUAUGAACUUGACAGUAAUUUUCUUUUCGCCUGGUAACAUAAGCAAAAGCUUCGUUAUUCUGACCCAGUAUCUCUUUCUUCCUUCCUUGAUAUUCCAUCAACAUAAUAGAACCAGCCAUACAUUAAACACAAUUUAACCAACACAACAACUGUCACAAUUAAGCAACAUUAAUAUUAGAACUAAAAAAGAAAAUUAAACGAAUUGAAACCAGAAAAUUAACUUAAAUUAAAGAAUUAAAAGAACUAAGACAAAGAAUUAAAAGAAUUGGUAUCAAAACAUUAGAAGAACUGAAAUAUACAAAAACUGCACUCAGAAAGCAGAUGGAAAAUCAAGGAAGGAAGAAGAAGAGGAAAAACUCUAUUUGGAACAAAAGAGAAGAAAAUAAUUGCCAAUGGGGUUUUCAGAAACGUUGGUUUAUUUUAGAAGGAUGGACUAUUAAAAGAUGGAUUAGAUCUUUUGGGUUGGGUUAGAAAAAAUCUAGAACAUCAGCAGCUCCAAAUCACCAACCAAGUCAAAGCCAUGUUCGAUGCUCAAGCACCAAAAAGACUCGCCAAACCUACCCGCAGUAAACCUAUUCAGUCUCAAGUAAACCCGCAGUAAACCUAUUCCAGAACUUGACAAUCACCGAUCUCUUCAAUCUCAAGUACUCUGCCCCUACCCUUCUGCUAAUUACCCUUGCAUUCCUUUAAUAGAAUGUGAAUUAAUUAUAAUUAUAAUCUUUCUGAUAAGUUCUUUUGAAUUUUGAUCAGGGUGGUACCGGUAGUAUCUGUUCUGAAAGUAAUAACAGCUCGGAGCAAGAAGAGUUUGUGGAAACUCGGUACUAUAAUGAGUUGGUUUCCAUUGACCACUAAAUAAAUGCCACAUGUUCAAUUAAAACACCCAUCAAUUUCAUGUCAUCUUUCUGUUAAGAGAGGGAUAUUUUCGAGCCUAAAAGUAACAUUAAGGGUAAAUUUGAACUAAUAGGUGGAAGGAGGGCAAUUUUAAGCCAUUUAUAAUACAUUAAGGGCAUUUCUGGCCCUUUUCCGUUUAUUAAAAUAAGGAGUAACAAACAUGGAUAUGGUUUCACUCCGUAACCAAGUUGCAAGUGCAAAAAAUACAAUGGAGUUUCAAUUUACUUUUGAGAGUGCAAACUAAUUUAGCUAAACAAAAGAAAAUACUAUUGAAUAUACUAUGCUUUACACUAAAAAUUUAGUGCAGAAAAAGGGAAUAACCCAAAUGGCUAAAUAACUUGGACAAACUAGUGAUCAAAGAAGGGUAAUAAGGAUAAAAAUAAGAAGAGCAGCAAUAAAAGAGUACUUAAGAGCAGCAAGAAGAAUAGCCAAUGCUAUAACAAACAGCUGCCACAAUAUACUUACACUAGCCCAUGUCAACAGACCCGUUAAUCCAACUGCCACAAUAUUAUCCGGGUCCGGGUCCAAUAUCAGAUCCACCCAUCUCAAAUUCAAUCUGGGCCUUCCACCACUACUAUUAUUACUUCCACCGUUAUCACUUUUUUCCUUUACCUCUUUAUCUGAGCUAGCAGUAUUGCUAUUUUCAUUUUCUGCUGCACAAACAAGAAUGGUUUUUCUUCUAGGGUAAGUUUUUGAGGGCUGAGAUUUGAGGGGUGAAAAUGGAAAUUUGAGACUGUGAAGGGGGUAAAUGGGAAAAAAGGAUUUGGUAAUUGAUGGGGUUGGUAGAAUUGGGGGUGAAUUUGAAUACGAGGGUGAUAUUGAUACUGCCAUGAAAAUACAGCAGAUUGAUUGAGGACCUCGUAUUUGAGGUACAGGGAAAAAUGGAGAGGAACGAACAAAAAUGCGCUUUUUUGUAAGCUAAAACUACGACUUCGCCUCUUUAAUUAUUUCUUUAAGCACUUUGGUCCUCAUAACUUUCUACAAUGU
RNAcentral lists this long non-coding RNA (50630 nucleotides) under Nicotiana tabacum (common tobacco). Its description in RNAcentral is "long non-coding RNA (NTAB_LNC013017)". The record is from RNAcentral. Lineage: Eukaryota; Viridiplantae; Streptophyta; Magnoliopsida; Solanales; Solanaceae.